Molecule: long non-coding RNA, 59979 nt
Filed under: Vitis vinifera (wine grape)
Lineage: Eukaryota; Viridiplantae; Streptophyta; Magnoliopsida; Vitales; Vitaceae
Description: long non-coding RNA (VVIN_LNC005439)
Source: RNAcentral
CCAUAUCAUCUGAAAAAGAUAGAUUUGGUAUGUAUGCUUUAUACUUGAGAAUCUCCUAAACCGUGACAAUUAAUUAGGUUUAGUUCCAAAAAUUUAUAUUACCUAUGCUCCAUUUGGUCCUUCAAGCUGUAGAAAGAAAGCAAACAUUUAGACCCAUCUGGAAUGAAAUGCCCAAUUUCAUUUAAAAACACAGCCUCCAAUUCACAAACAAAAACCAGGGCUAUUUCAUAUUUAGGUAUAAUAUAUUAUACAUCAAAAGCAAGCCAAGACAUGAUCAAAACUCAAGUACUAAGCCCAGGCUUGGACUGCCGACUGAGCAACCAAACUGGUGGCUCAGUUCUUGGCAGCGAAUUGGUUAACCAAGGCUAACGCAUUGCUAGUGACUUGCGCAACAGUAACCAACCAACCCCUAAUCGAUGCCUUAACCCUGCCGUCCAGGGCCCGACCAGCGAAUCCAUCAACACACGUAUUAUCAUCGGUUAGGGCAGCGCUGACCCAAGUGUCAACAUUGCUCAUGUGCCACAAAAAGUCCUGCCCCUUGCUCUUCCCAGCUUCCUCAAGCUCCUGUACGGACCGGGAAAGACGGUCGAUGCUGUCGUUCAUUUCUUCUAAACAGUCCUGAACCGCCUCCAACUCCCUAGCCUUCAUGCCCUUAAUCUUACCCAAUUUGGACACAAACGCCUUGGCGGACUGAGCCUUGGCUAGGCUCACCGUCAAAGCGGUGUGAGCCAACUGCUUCGGGCUUUUCUGAAUUGUGCUUGCAUACACUGACAGCGAUUGGACGCACAAUGCUGGGUACCGGGUGGCACUGCACUUGGCCUUGAUGAAACUAGUGCUGCCGGAAUUGGCAGCCGCAGACUCAGCAACCCUGGAGGUGUACAAAAGUACUGAAACCACCACCAAGACUACUAGUACUGAGGCUCUUGCCAUGACUCUGGGCAGUAAGAAAUUUGCUGAUUAUAUGAUUGUAUUGGAGGAUAGGUGGAAGAGGAUGGGCAGUUUUAAGUAUUUAUAGAGGGUUUAAGCAUUUAGUUGACGGUAAUAUGUAGGUCCUGUGUUGAUGUGUAAUGGGCCCCAUAAUACAGAAGAAAAAAUUUCCGGCAAUCAAGCACUGAAUUAAGGGUUGUCAUAUUUGACAAAGGUUUGUGAAAAUAUGGGAAAAUGUGCAUGUGAAGUUGUGUCCACUGCAAUUAAAGUAGGUCAAGUUCUUGACGUUUUGCUGCCGACACUGGCUAAUUGCAGGCUUGAAGAGUUUAGUAUAGGGUUUAGGACGUUAGGCAAUAUCUAUACAUCUUUUCUUAAUCAAAGGUCACGAAAGAUUCGGCAAAAUCUAUUCAUCCAGACAUCCAUACAUCUAUUCUUAGGUUAAAAACAUUGAGUUUGAUUUUUGUAAAUAUUGUUUAUGAAUUUUCUAGGAUAUGUUAGUGCAUUUUGGAUGGUAUAUUUUUUAUUUUUUAAAAUAAAAAUAAUAUUAAUUUUUAUAUAAGGUACAAAAAUUCUUGAUAUUACGUUUGGUUCCAAAAAAUACUAUUAGAAAUAGGAAAAAAAUAUUAACAAAAAUAAUUUUUUCAUGUUUGAUUUUCUUAUAAAAAAAAAUGAAAAAAGGUUAAAUAUAAUUAUAAUUAUUAAAAAAAAUUAUAUAUUUUUAAAUUAUUUGAUAUUUAUAUAUAAAAGUUAAAUGAGUUUAAAAUAAUAUAUAAAAAUAAUUUAUUAAUUUUAAAUUUAUUUUUUAUUUUAUUUUAUUUUUUCUUUUCUUCUACUUUUCUUAUAUUUCCCUCACAUUUUCCUUCAAACUUGAAGCAUCCAAUAUAGCUUAAAAGUUUAUAUUAAAAAAUUAAUUUUGAAAACUAUUUAAAAAAAUUUUAAGUAUCAAAAACAUUUUUACCACCUCAAAAUUUAAAAAUAUAAGAUAAAUAAAAACUUUUAAAGCAAUAUAUUCUAUUUUUAUAAAAAGACUUUUUAUUUUAAAAAAAAUGAAAAAUAGAAAGUACAUCCGCAACAUUGGGCCCAAUUUGCGUUGUUUUUUAAAAAUUGUUUUAAAAAAAUUGAGAAUUAAAAAUAAUUUUUAAAAUUUUUUAAAAAAUAAAAAUGUAUUUGACAGUGAUUCCGAAAGUGUUUUUAAUCUUUCUAACUCUUGAAAAUUUUUAUACAUAAAUUUAUGGUAUUAAUAAGUUUAUUAUUUGAGUUUUAAAUCAUUUUUAAAAGUUAUUAUACUUAUUAAUAAAUCCAACACAUUAAAUCUAAUUUAAUUUGAAGUUUAUUUGUCUAGUGAAAACAAAUAGAGAAAUAAUAAUUUUAUAUAAAAAAUAAACAAUAGAGUUAUUUUAAAUCAAUUUUUAUUUAUAAAUUUGUGAUAUUAAUAAGUUUAUUAUUUAAGUUUUAAAUUAUUUUUAAAAAAUAAUAAACUUGUUAAUAAAUUCAAUGCAUUAAGUCUUGUUUAAUUUGAAAUUAAUUUAUCUAACGAAAAAAAUCGAAAAAUGAUGAUUAUAUAUAGAAGAGAAAUUAAAAGUUAUUCUCCAUUUUAGUUUGUUUUUAAAAAUUGAAAAUAAAGAACAAUAAUCAAAUAAUAUUAUAAAUUUUUAAAAACUAUUUUUUAUUUUUAAAAAUAGAAAAUUGUUUUUAGAACUCUCCAAAGAGGCUCUAACUUCAAGUGCUGGUUUAGUUAAAUUUUAUUGUUUUAAAAGCAAAAGGCCUGAUAUGCAUUAGUGAAGCUAUUCUUUAUUUUCAAUGUUUUGAAUACCAUCCGUGAGAUAUUGAUUAACUAAAAUCAUUAUGUUAUUAAAUCAUAUUGAGAGGUAGUGUGAAAACUUUGAAAAGGCGAGAAACAAUCAAAGAAAAGAAAAAGUAAAAAAGUAAGUGAGAACAGAUUGGGAAAAGACUGACUUUGACUCUCUUAUACUACGGUUUUAUAAGCUUUCAUAUUGCCCAAAAGUUAUAUUCACACUAACUUUAUAUUAUCAUUUACUUAAUUUCCAUCCUUUAAUUUAUUCUAUUUACACACCUUUCUUAGCCUAUUGAUAGGCUUUGGGCUGUUGUUCAACUUUAGUAGUAAAGACUUAAGAAGGAAGACACGUCUCUCACACGAUCCCACGACUCGCACGACUCACACUCGUGAUGUAUACGCCCACAUCCACUGGAAAUUAACGCAGGAGACUUCGACCAUAUGUUAAAAUUAAGAAUAAGUUUUCCAAUUUCCAUAAAACACUACAAAAGGAGGCCGCGGGUCCACUUAAUUUAAUUUAGUAGGGGAGUGUGGGGUGGGGGUAAUGGUCACAGAUGAGGGCUUGGUAGGCCUGCUGCAUUUAAGGCUUCGAAAGCCAACUCUAUACGGACAAUUUGAAGAAAAAAAAACCAUUAUUUUCAAAGAAUAUUUCAUAAAAUUCGAGGGUUUAAAAAAUUUUAUGAAUGAUAUGCUCAUGUCAUUGUUUUAAUUUGAUCGGCAGACAGGCAAAAUUAAUUAAAUGAUGGAAGGUCACAAAUGAGGGCUUUGUAGGCCAUUUGUAUUUUCGAAGGUUUGGAAAGCUGCCCUCCCAAAGUUGUGAUAUAUUCCAUUUAUAUAUUCAGCAUGGGGCAUUGCCAUAUACACUUAUACCUGAAACAAAAUUGUACGUAUAUGACAUGCAGAUGACGUAUUUUUUUAAGUAAUUAGAUUUGCAUAGGUAUGUAUGAGUUUGAGUUUAGUCUCGUAAAGCUGGCCAAAUUUGGAUUGGAAUGAGGAGGCUAGUCACUAUUAGUCUCCCACCAGUGCAUGAAGAGUCCAAAUAAUAAAUGAUAAAGCCUUUAAUAACACUUGUCAAAUUAAAGGUUUGGUGUAAAUAUAUAUAAUUAUCAUUAAUUUCAAAUUUUUUCAAUUAGUGUAAUUAUAAAUUUAUUUUGUUUAUUAAAUAUAGAUUUUUAGAAAUAUUUUGGAUUAAAAAAAUUAGGUAAGAAUGGUUUGUGGGACCCUGCAUCCAUCCAACAUAAAUCCAUUUUUUAUCCAGAUAUUAAACCGACAAAGGGCUAUAUAGGCAACGUUCAUAUUCAUUGCACAAGUAAUAAAUAUAUCAAACCGUUAUGUCAAGUGCAUUUAUGGGCAUAAACGUCUCACUUAAACUCAAAAAUCGUUAUUCAUAGGGUCAAUUACUAGCAUCUCAAGUAUUAAAGAGACUUGAAACGUUACAACUCUGUAAAAUGUUACUAAACAUUGAGAUUCAAGUAUGAAAUAAGCUCCCUAAAAAGUUAUUGCCCAUUUCUUCCCAAUAUUAACUUAAGCUUCGGAGGCUCAUCGUUUGCUCAGAGGAAGCUAGCUAGAAAAAACCUUGUUGGUUGUGCACCAACAAUUGGUGUCAUCUAUGGGAAAUGAACAAAAAGCCUUAAGUGCAGAUGGCUAACGUACCUUCUAGAAUGCAUUCCCAUUCAACAUAGGUAGACGAUCAAUUCUGAGAGAAUUAUGGGUCAUUAUGGGACCCCACAUCCGUCCAAGUAUAAAUUCAUUUCUCAUCCAUGUAUCAAAUGGACAAAGGGCUAUCCGGGCAACGCCUAUAUUCAUUAUGCAAGUAAUAAAUAUAUCAAAUCAUUACAUCAUGUGCAUUUAUGAGCAUAAACGCUUGACUUAAGCCCAUAAAUCAUUAUUCAUUGGGUCAAUUACUAGCAUUUAAAGUAUUAAAGAGACACUUGAGACGUUACAACUCUACCAAGAUAAAAAGCUACCAAACAUCAAUAUUCAUGUAUGAAAUAAGCUCCCUAAAAAACUAUUGUCCAUCUCUUCAAGAUAUGAACUUAAGCUUCAGAGGGGCGUACUAAAAAAAAUCAUUUGGAAACACUUUGUUGUAGGUACACUUGUUGUUCACUCGGAUGAACUUAGUUGGAAAAGACAUUGUUGGUCAUGCACCAACAAUUGGUCUCGUCUAUGGAAAAAGAAAUAAAAGAUUCAAGUGUAGAUGGCUAAUUUACCUCCUGAAACACGUCCCCAUUUAGCAAAGGUGGACGACUGAUUCCAUGCAUGGCAAGUCAAAAUUGAGAGAAGGUAGGGAGAGUAUGAAUAGUGCAUGCAAUCCCUGCGGAGCAACUGAAAUAGGAAAACAAAGAGUUACAAGUGCAAAUGGGUUUGAGACAUUGUGUAAACCAAAGGAGCCAUCAUAUACCUAGCCAAACGACCUUGAAGCGUACCCGAAGUCGGCUACAAGCUUACAAGCACUUAACUAAACCACUAAAAGUGGAAAAACAAGGCAAAUCCGACUACGUGCUUACAAGCACUUAACUAAACCGUUAAAAGUAGAAGAACAACGUCAAAUUUGACCACGUGCUUAUAAGCACUUAACUAAACUGCUAAAAGCAAAAAAAACAACACCGAAUCUGACAACGUGCUUACAAGUAGUAACUAAACCUCUAAAAGUGGAAAAAAACAAAGUCAAAUCUGACUAUGUGCUUACAAGCACUUAACUAAACCGCUAAAAGUGAAAAAACAAAGUUGAAUCUAACUACGUGCUUACAAGCACUUAACUAAACCACUAAAAGCGAAAGAACAAAGUUGAUGUCGGUUACAUGCUUAGAAGUACUUAACUAAAUCGCUAAAAGUGGAAGAAUAAAACCAAAGUCAACUACAUGCUUACAAGCACCUAACUAAACCAUUAAAAGUGGAAGAAUAAAACCAAAGUUGAUUACGUGCUUACAAACACUCAACUAAACUGCUGAAGUGAAAGGACAAAUCAAAACAACACGAGCCUUGGUCCCAUUGAUUAAAAGAGAAGCCAAAACAAUGCAAAUAAGAAAAAAAAAACUCAAAAUCUUAUAAAGGUCAAAGGUUAAAACGAAUAAGCAAACAUGUAAUAUGUAUAUAAGGCUAGAAUGGAUCAGCAAAUAACAUGUAUUUGACUAUUCAAAAUGUUGCAAAAGACACAAAAGCCCAUAGACCAUCUAAAGUGUGAAAUCCGUAUGGCUUAAAUGCCAAAAAAAAAAUUGUCAUAAAUAUGAAAAACAAAAAAACAGUUACAAAAUGCUAGGACUAUCUUGUCACAAACCCAUCCAACCAUAAGUCUAUUCGGCCACACUGCUUGACUAAGCUUCAAGUCCAGUCUUAUCAAGAACACCUAGCCCGUCUAUUGAUAGGGCCUUGUCGUCUGAGAGUUGAAUAUCAAAGGAGUCAGGAAUUUGGAAGUGAACCUAAAACUCUUGUUUGGACAAUUCAUCCACAGCGAAUCCAUUUUGGAAUGUUCAAAUCAAGAAGCCCUCAUUCCGCUCAAUUGAGACCUACUACUUGUUAAAGCAACACCUCUUUUAUCCAUAUAGAAAAAUAUAACAAAGGCCAACUAGACACCUGUGCGAGGGAAGCACAAAUGGAUUAACCAAAUGUCCCCUAGACUGAGACACAGAAGACAUCAACCCAAUAUUCUAUUGUUGUUAAGUUUAACCCCUUGGAGGGCUCAAAGUUGUCUAGAAAGUAUCAACUACUCAAAGCCAACUGAAAAAUUAUUAAUUGGCCAAAAUUCAUGCUUUGGCUUUGAAAUGCCCUCACAAAUCAAGCAAAACGCCCUCACAAAUCACAACUCAAGCAAAACUAUGCAGAGACCCUAGCAUAAUGCUGAUAAAAGUAAGAAGUAUUUGAACGAAAGAGGAAGAAACCUAACCUGGAAGAACAAAACAGAGGUAUUUUGGAACCAAUGGCGAGGUUGCAGUGACAUCGAUAGCAAAUCGGUGAUAAUAUCGAUGAUGAAAAUAAUAGCAACAGAGUCCCUAAAUACAACCGCAAGAAAAAACCCAAUCCAAACAAGAGAUUGAAAUCAAAUGGCCCAAAUGGCAUUUAAAUAGGUUAAAAAAUGAGCACGAUGAUCAAGGCAUUUGAAGAGACCUAUUGCUUGUCAGCCUCCAUAAUCAUGUGUUGCCUCGAACCCUGCACAUUGAACAUGUGUCCCUUUGGCAUCAAAACACAAUUUUGAAAACUUUUCCAACAAGCAAACUGAUAGUAAAUUCUCUCCAACCACCCAUCUAGUUUUUAGACGAAUCUAGCCGAGAGAAUUAGGAGGCAUUGUGAGAUCUCGUAUCCAUCCAAAACAUAUAUCCAUUUCUCGUCUAAGUAUCAGAUGGAGAAAGGGCUAUUCGGACAACAUCUAUAUUCAUUGCGCAAGUAAUAAAUAUAUCGAACCGUUACGUUAUGUGUAUUUAUGAGUAUAAACGUCUUACUUAAACCUAGAAACCAUUAUCCACAAGACCAAUUACUAACAUUUAAAGUAUUAAAAAGAUACUUGAAAUGUUACAACUCUGUCAAAAUAAAAAGCUACCAGACAUCGAGAUUCAAAUAUGAAAUAAGCUCCCUAAAAAGCUAUUACCCAUCUCUUCCAAAUGUUAACUUAAGUUUCGAAGGUACAUGCCCAAAAAAACUAUUCGGACACACCCUAUUGUAGGUACGCUUGUCGUUCACUCGGAGGAAGUAAGUCGGAAAAGACAUCAUUGACCAUGCACCAACAUGGUUAAUAAUUCUUAAAAAAAAAAAAUUAUUUUCUAAAAAAUAAAUUUCAUAUAUGAAAUAAAUCUAUAAAAAGUACCAAUCGAUAAUAUUUAAAACUUGUGAAAUUUUAAUUUAUAAAAGUACUAACUGAUAGUAUUUAAAACUUGUGAUAUUUUAAUAUAUUUACACUAAAUCCAAGAAGGUGUAAAUGAAAUUAACCCACUAAUAAAUUGAAUGUGGAUACUCUACCCUUAUGCCUUAUACGUGGUACUCAACAAAUUUCUUGAGAAAUUUGAAAAAAUUAGAUAAAGAAUCAAAAUUUUGAUAAUCCAAAUUGUCUAAAUUCUAUAGACAAUUUAAAAGUGUCAAAUGUAAGUCUAAGAAAGAAAAGAUGCCAGCAAUUUUUGUUAUUGAAAAUGAUGUGCCCAUGUUGUAAAACAUGGAUGUCGUGCAAGGCAUAGAAUUUGACACAAACUCUACAUGACCCAGUUGUAAUUAGGCGACAACUGAAAUAAGAAAUCAAAGGAAAUCACGCCUAGCAAAUUAAAAAUUGGACGUAAACCAUUGAUGUGAUAAACUGAUAAUGACGUAUUUCAAUUCAAUUAAAGUAUGCUAAUCUUUUGCAUAAAAAUAAGAACAAAUCCCUUGAAUCAAUGAACAGCCAAAAAUUCGGCUACGUGAUAUAUUAUGAUUUUAAUUUUUAGUAAUGGGGCUGUCCAAAUCAAAUGAUCGGUGGAAAAUUUAAUUAUAAUAUAUGAAAUUAAAAAUGAAGAAGUAUAGAUAAUUUCGGGCACAAUAGUUUUCGUGCAUGCAUUUGAAUACUUUCAAUAGUUUAAGGCAACAAAAUAAUUAAACUAAGUAAUGGGGUCUCUCAAAUGAAGAAGGACACAAAUUUGUAAUGAAAUUUCUUUUAAUAUAUAUUUAGGAAAAAAACCAAGGUUUUUAUUUUGUAUUUAGUGAAUUUUAGAUCUUAGUUGUUGAAAGUAUAUUAUAAAAUCUGAAUCAUUGAAUAAAAACAAAAACCGAGACAAGAUAUAAAAGAAUAAAUUAUGUGUAUGAAAUGAAAUUAUGUUGUAAAAUAGUGAGAACAAGAUAUAAAACAAUGAAUUAAAAUAUGAUAUAUAAUAUUGACACGGAAAGUCACAUGUUACCAAACCUAAUUAUUCUAAUAUUUUAAUUGGAUUCAUAUUUAUAUAAGUGAACACAUGAUUAUAAAUUAGGGAUGGCUACGGAACAUUACCCCUAUUCUAACCUAAUCUUAUUUGAAUCAUUAAAAAAAUUAAACGGGACAUGAGUAGUAUGAUAAUUUAUCAUACUUAUCUCACCUCAUCCCAUUUAAUAUUUUUUUUUUAAAAAAAACUUUUAUUUUUUUUAAAAAAAAUUUAAAUUUUUUUAAAAAACUUUAAUUACAUUAAAAUAAAUAUUUUAUAAAUAAUUAAAAUAUUAUAAUUUUUUAUAACUUAUUUUAUUGAAAACUAUUUUAUUAUUAUAUAUAUUAAAAAUAUGAAAAUUAAAAUUAAAUUCAAUUCAAUUAAUUUAUAAAAUUAAUUUUAUAUAUAAUCGGGGCGAGUGAGAAGAGGGUAAGGCAAUAUCCGAACCUAUCGUCUACCCGUCUCGGAGUUUAAAAAAAAAAUCUCAACCCCAUCCCUAAUCCAUUUAUUUAAAUUUCAAAUCUAUCCCAUUAUGGAGUAAGGCACCACAGAUAUCCCAAAAAAAACCUAUUCGAGACUUAUAAUUUAUUGUAUAUUUAAAAUACUUUUAAUUUAUUUUUAACUUAAAUAUAAAAUGAGUAAAAAUAAAAAUAUUUACUAAAGAAAGAGCAAUGCAUUUGACAUAUCAAAUAUGACAUUUCCUACCUAGGUGCAACAAAAUUUAGAUCUAACAUGCAUCUAGGCUAAUUUGUGAAUAAAUUUGUACUAAAAUUAUGCUAUAUCAAUCUUCAAAAAUUUUCAAAUUGUUGUGACAUAAGUACUCCAAUUAAAUAAAUCUAAUAUAUUAAAAAUAAAAACACUAAAUAAUUUUGGUACUUAUUUUUAAUUAAGAAAUUAUAUUAGAUAUAAUAAACUAACUCAACUAAAUUAAAAUAAUGAUAAUAAUAAUAAUAAUAAUAAUAAUAAUAAUAAUAAUAAUAAAACCGAUACUUUUAGUAAUGAUUGAAAGGUAAUCAAAUCCUUAUUUUAAAUUACUUAUCACCCAAAUAAAUGUCUUGAUGAGUCUCAUUCUACUUUUGCUUUUUUUCAAAACUUAAAGAAUAAAGAAAUUCAAUAAAUUCAAAUUCCACACCCCUUUUUUAAGUUUCGUUUCCACUAAGACAAAACCCAUCCACCUUUUUUGAAGUCGGCUGACACUUGAAGCAAAGGAGAAUUCUCUGUGUAUUUUCUUUAGAUUAAAUAUACCUUUUUUUAUUAAAAGAAACCAAUGAUGUAACAUGGGCAACGAUUCUUCACCCAUCACCUAUCCUAUCCAAAUCAUAACUUCAACCUUCUUUUCCUCUUCUUUUUCUCGGGUUCUUUACCUCAUUUUCUUUCCUUCCAAACCCUAAUCUUAUAAAAAGUGUAAAAGAAAUUUAGAAAGCAGGUGAUUGUCUUAUGCUACAGGAGUUGGGACUGUGGUAGGACAGAGUGAUGUUUGGAAUAUUUUGUUUGCUGCCUUUGCUGUUGUUUGUAUAUAUUAAGAGCUUGAUUCCCAUUUUAAAUAUGACAGGGUUGGGCUGCCCGUCUUCUUUUCUUUAAUAUUUUUUAAUGUGACAAAAAGAUACAUAGCAUGCCCUUUGAUUUUUUGUAAUGGCUUUAUUCCCAUGCUCGAUCGAUACCACUUGGUUUUUCCAAAUGGUUGGGCUGCCUUUCAUCUCAUCCUUAUCUUGCUGAGAAUUUCAAAACUCUUUGUUGAUAAGGUUGCUAAGGGAAUGAGCAACAGUAACUCUAAAAAUUAUGGAAUACUAUAUGCGCUCAAUAAGCAUAGUAGAGAAGCAAGUUGAGUGGAUCUUCAAUGGAGGGAGAUUAAUUGAAUUUUUUUAAAUAAAAAUAAUAGAUACGUGUGUUCAAGUUUUGACCCAUUUCUUGAAAUUAUAUUUGAAAUUUGUUAUCAUCGCCUCCCCUUUGUUGGUCCCUAGACUGGGCAGUUCUUGAUGGGAAGUUUCUCCUAUUAUCCUAUAAGGUGAGCAAUAGUCGGAUUUGGUUUUUACUUCCUUCAAGAUUUAAGAUCUUCUAGCAUGACAUAUCCCGUUGCUUUUGAGAAGAGCCCCUCAAUGUUGGUUGGUGGAGACUUGGAAAGUGACAGGAAUAGGUCGAACCUUUCUUUUGGUCCUUCCUCAAAGCCCAUUACUAUCGCUUGCAUUGUGCAUCCUCUUACUUAAAAGAGAACUUGUGUUAAAUUAUUGUAUAUGUUGUGUAAUGGAAGCUUUAAUACAAAUAAUAUUAGUUUAAGAAUAUAAAGUUAAAAUAAUUUAUUGUUCGAUCAAUUAUAUUUAUAUCUACGGAUGGGAAAGAAUCUUUUCACUAAAUCAUAAAAAAUAUUACAGAGAAUAAAUUAAAUACAAUUAUUGAGUUUUUGAAAUAUUUUAUAUAUUUCCUCACUCCUUGUAUCCAUACCCUGAACCAUGAAUCCUCAUAUCUCCGUCCACCUCGUAUAAUGCAUGUCUAUCUCCAUCUCAUAACUUUUUUCUUUUCAUCACUUAGAAUAUUUAUAGAGAUGUUCUCAAUAACUUUCCUUAUUUUAUAAAAGAAUCUAAUAUAAUAAUAAUAUAUCAAUUAGGAAAAUAUUCUUUACACAAAUGAAUAUAUGUUAAUUAGAAAUUUGAGACAUUUAAACAAUCUCCACCUUUGAUCAAAUUUCAUCAAGUCAAUCUUCAUCUCUAUAUGAUGCAUUUUUUUGCAUCACAUCCUAACAAAAGAAUAAUCGACUUCACUUUCAACUAAAAUAUCAUUUUUCAUCAUCUUGUAUGCUCUAUUUUCUUCAGUUCUUCCAAAGAUUUUUAACCUGGGCUUUGGUACUAGUUUGUUGUACCAACGAAAGCUUUAAUGCAAACACUAUUAGUUUCAGAACACAAAAAUAAAACAAUUCACAUAAAGGUAUAUGAGGUUUUAAUGUGGUUCGACCAACCAUACCUAUAUCCAUGGAUAGGAGAGAAUCUUUUCACUAUAUCAUAGAGGAUAAAACCAGAUACAACUAUUGAGAUUCCAAAACAUCUCAUAUUUAUCUACUCCUUAUAUCUACAUUUUGAACCACAAAGCCUCUCACUCCACCAAGUGUGUCAUAUUCUUCCUCACAUCUCUAUCCACUUUGUAUAAUCUUUACAAAUUCAUCUCUAUUUUAUAACUUUUUCCCCUCAUAACUUAAAAUAUUUAUAGAGAUAUUUCUAAUAACUUUCCUUAUUUUAUAAGAAAAUAUAAUAUUUCAAUAAUAUAUCAACUAGGCAAUUAUUUUUUACAAAAAGGAAACUAUACUAAUUAGGAAUUCGAGACACAUUCAAACAGUAUGUUUGCUUGUAUUGAUUCCCUAAUGGUUUUCUAUACUUGGAAUAGGGCUUCUAGCCUUUUUUUUUUUUUUUUUUUUUGUGUUGCAUUGAGUGAAUGUAUUGGACAAUAAAAAUAGCUCAUAAUUCCUUGAAGUUUGAAAUUGAGUUGAGUGGCAAUUGGUGGAACCACGUAAGGGUUGGUCCCUAUAGGCUAGAUGAGAAGACUUUGUGGAGUAACAUUCAUUCCCUUACAUGAGGAUCAUCAUCUGUCAAACAUACAAUGGUGGAACCACAUAAGGGUUGGUCCCUAUAGGCUAGAUGAGAAGACUUUGUGGACUAACAUUCAUUCCUUUACAUGAGGAUCAUCAUUUGUCAAACAUGCGAUGGUGGAACAACAUAAGGGUUGGUCCCUAUAGGUUAGAUGAGAAGACUUUGUGGAGUAACAUUCAUUCCCUUACAUGAGGAUCAUCAUUUUUCAAACAUGCAAUAGGUGUUCUAAUUUGUUGCCUAUCCCAUUGAACAUGUUGAAUAUAAGGAUUCCAAAUCCUCUAGGCAUCUUCUCCCUAAGGAUAGCCUUAAUGAAUGGUGUGGUGAUGAUAUCACAUACUGCUUGUAAGGCAAGGGGCUCAAUGAAGCAUGACAAGUAUGUGGGUUUACCACCAUAGUUUGGUGGGCGCUUUUUCUUCCCCUUGUGGCUUGGGGCUACGUCAUGCUCAAUUGGAGUUGAUGGUCCCCCGCUCUAGUAAGUGGCUCCUUUGAUUUCCUAUUUCCUUAAUUAAGCUUCUUUAGGAUGGUUGUGGAUUAGAAGGGCUCAGGCACCUACUAUCUUCUUGUGAUUCCCUUCUUAGUUGACCAUUUUCAUGGACGAGUUUUUCAUUGUACCUAUUUAACUCUGUGAGUUAGCUCGUUGUUUCUUCUUUUUUUUUCUCUUUGAAAUCUAUGUUCCGUUUUAUUUUUAUUUGUUGUUGGAUCCAUGAUAACUGAGGAUCAUCACAAGGAUGCAUAUCGUUAGUUCAUUUUUAUAUUGUGACUAAGUUGAUCAAAUGAGGAUUUUUCUAUAGACGAAGACAAUCCAUUGAAUCCUCCUCCAAGUAAGGUCGAAUUGGGCAUCUGCUUCCUCUUAUGGAUCAAAGAGAUAGAUAGGUGAAAAAGGAAAGGGUUGAUUAAGUUGACCCGCUAUAAUGGUCAAGUUAUUCAUAAAGCGAAGUAAAGAACAAUACAUAAAAAAAAAAAUGGAAUUGUUUGUGUGCAUCGUGUUUUGAAAUUGGGAUCUACUUUUAUAGUUGUUUUUUGGUAGGUUGAUUAUGGGAAGGCAAUAUUGAGAGACAUCGGUUAUGAAUCACCUUAAAUGAUAUCUAUUAUAUCCAUCUUUAAGCUCUAUCUAUUAUGUAAUGAUUGUUGGAUGACCUCUACAGUUUUGGUUAUUAUGUGGUUAUUGCGGGUCAUGACUAUUAUGUAGUUAAUUAUGCGAAGGUUCUCCUCUUUACAAGGUUGCAUAUCGCAAGUGGAUGGUUGUACUUUGUGAAUGGAGGUCAACCCUUAUAUGGGGACUACCCUAGGUCCCUAGUUGUGGCAUAAUGGUGGCAAUAGUUUGGUCCUAUAUAUCCAUUGUAGUGCAAUGUGGUAGAUCCCCGGAUGGCAUCAUGGCAUAUGGUGUAUGGGAGUAGUGCAUCAUUUUUUGACUUUACUACAUGACCAAGUAUAUUCAUGUCCCUAAAAUUAUCAAACAAAGUCUUGGGAUUUAAACCUAAACCUUCAUAAUAAGGGAAAAAGAAAUGCUAAGUGCAAGUUACAUAUCCUUUUGACGAAAUUGGAUAAGGUGCUCAUCAAAUAGUACUUUUGGAAGGCCGUUGUUCUACAAAGAUUAAGCACGUUCUUGUUAUUGGCUUGUUUGACCCAUGAACAUUCAUGAGUUAUGCUUGUAACCAUCCCUUAAAAAAGCUAAACAACGCUAGGGUUUGUGCUAAACAACAUGCUCUUUUUAUAAUGUUUGGUUCGGGAAAAUGUUAGAGAAAGAAAAAAAAAUACUAGGAAAAAUGAUAUUCUCAUAUUUGAUUUUAGGAUCAAAUUUAAAAGGGACAACAAUCUUUAAUUUGGAAAUCUAACUCCAAGUCUAAAAAAUACUCAUUUUUGACAAAAAUAGCCUUAUUUUUUCUUGUAAAAAUAAUAUUUCCUAUUAAAACUUAAAUAUAAAUAAUAUAAAGAUUGAAAAGCUUCUUGUAAAAAAAUGGAUUACUUUUCAAGUUUAAAUAUGGAAGGGGUUAGAUUUAUAAAAUUGGGUUCAUUUUAUCAUUUUUAAUCGAUUAAUUCUUGAUUUGUUAAAAAAACACAAAAAAGAAAAUCAAAUAUAACUAAAUUUCAUAAUAAACUUACAUAUUUUUAAAUUAUUUAAUAUUUAUAUUGAAGAAUUAGGAUAAAUAAAAAGAAUUUGAAAGAACAUAUAAAUAUAAUUUUGUGAUUUUAAAUCUAAAAUUUUGGAACAACCAAACAUAACAUUUUGGUUUCAAACCUCUCGGUGUUUACUCUUUUUUUUCCCCACUCUAGACCCCUUUCUUCUAGAAAGAAGGGCGGAAGGCUUUGUUGGUUAAUGGUCAGGUCUGAAUUCAGUUUUCAGCUGAAACGUUACAAAUGUAAAUAGAAGAGGUUCCAUUUUCAAAAUCUUUCCUUUUCUUUCAAUCCAACUACUAGAGUGAGCAUGGGGAUACCGCCAUUCAUCUUGGGAUGGUCUAGCUAAUGAGUCUUUGUGCAAUACAGUAUACAUGGUAAGGGUGCAGAACGUUAUAGGGGCAUCGGUGAGUGCAGAACACAUCCAAAACAAGAGAAAUCCACCCAUUCAUGUGGCCUCCCUAUCAUUUACAUGUUAGUAAUUGAAAAAAAAAAAUUACUUUUGUACCUUUCACCCUAUAUUGGUACGAAAUAACGAUGAUAGACAAUAAGAAAAAACAGUAUAAGAACACAUGGAUUUACGUGGAAAACCCUUGACAAGAAAAAACAUGGAUAAAGGAGAAGAAUAUUCACAUUAUUAAAAAUUGGAACGAAAAAGGGAGAGAUGCAAGCGGCUACUGCAUAGACAUUAACAUCAUGACCCUAAAUCCUAUACAUCAUCGCUUAUAUAUAUAUAUAUAUAUAUGUGUGUGUGUGUGUGUGAGAGAGAGAGAGAGAGAGUAAUAAAUAAAGCAGGUCAAACCUAAAUCCUAUGAGGCCAAUCCCUUCGCUACCACUACAGACCCUUCAAAAAAUCUCAUAAUUUUAGCUUCACCACCUAUGUCACACUGUGGACUUUUCGAGUCAGACCAAAUUAAAAUUCAGGUCACCAAACUCUAACAUAUACCUAUAAGAAGAUAACUUCUCUUAUCUUUCACAAUUUUUGGAAGUGGUUUUGUUCCAUGCUCAAUUAUACUGGGUCCUUCCAUCCUUAUUUUUCUUAUCUAUCUUCAUUUUUUUUCCCUUUUCUUGGUGAGUUUUAAGAACUAUUAACUGAUAUAUGUUAAUGGGGUCGAGUUAAGGUACUAUGAAUUUGAAAAGGAAAAGCAAGGAAGAACUUAGGUAAACCAAACUGACCACAAUCAUGUAAGACCUCGCUCGCUGAUGUAAAUGCCCUCAGUCUGGAAAGUUAGAACCAAAAUUUAACUUCGAAUUUCCAGGAUGGAUGGACAUAAAAAAGUUGGGAUAGCUUCUUCAUUUACAAUGGAGAAGUGUAGAAUUUGUUCCCAUGAUCCAUCUUCUUUGUGCUCAAUUUAGGUUUGUGAGAUUUUGGAACUUUCUGACCACCUACUCAUAUGGGUAGAUUUCUUGCGUGUUGAUAUUCUGAAAUCAUCUAUUUUCUGAAAGAACCAAUGAGAAGCACACUCAUUCUCUGUCAUAUUAGUGCCUGGUUGAAGGAGAUACCAAUUCAAUGGGUCGAUAGUCCAGCUCCCAAGUUGGAUUUUCUCCUCUCAAUCAGCCUUAAAAUUACAGUUCUGAUUGUAUAAACCCUCAUAUUAGUAUAAUGAAUCAAAUCCUCUAUCUGCCAUCAUUUUUCUCACUUUCUCUACAUCCUCCAAUCUACCCACAUUGCGGUAAAUAUUCAUCAAAAGCUCAAAAUUAUGUUCAUUAUCCGGCUCCAGCUCAAAAAGACACUCUGCAGCUAUCUUUCCAAUAUCUACAUUGUGAUGAAAGUAACAAGCAUACAACAAGGCUCCCCACACAGUCGGACCGGCCUCAAACUCCAUUCUCUUCUCAAUGAUUUCAUAGGCUUCCUCAAUCAAUCCUGCUCUUCCAUAUAGAUUCACCAUACAUGCAUAGUGCUCCAUGCUUGGAAUCAUUCCAUAGUCCUCUCUCAUCAUUGAAAAUAACCCUUCCCCAUCCUUAACCAAACCUAAAUGGGCACAAGCAGAUAGUAAUGACACAAAUGUAACCACAUCUGGCAGCACAUCAGCCUUCUGCAUCCGUGAAAAAUAUGUUAUAGCUUUCAGGUCUUUCCGGUGAGCAGAUAUUAUAGAAUUCCAUGACACAACAUCCCUUUCCGGCAUGUGAUCAAACAACCAACAAGCUUGAUCUAAUUUCCCGUGAUUUGAGUACAGAACAAUCAAAGAAUUAGCAAUAGAUAAAUUCCACUGAACUCCACGCCGAAGAACCCAUCCAUGAAUUUGCCCUGCCAGUUUUAGUGAUGGCACGCCAGUGACAACAGUAGAUAUAGCAACAGCAUCCGGCUCAAAUCCAUAUUGAAGCAUCCGGCGGAAGAUGCUCAAUGCCUGCAAAGGAAGCCCAUGACGAAUGUAGCCUGUUAACAUCGAAUUCCACGAAACCGAGUCCCUGCACACAAUCUUAUCAAACACCUUACGAGCCUUCACAAUGUCACCACACUUGGCAUACAUGUCAACAAGCGCAUUGAGCACAAACCCAUCAUCCGCAAAGCCACAACGAACAACAUGCCGGUGCACCUCUUCCCCUACCGAAAUCGAGCCAAUUCCUCCACAAGCUUUCAACACUCGUGGAAACGUGAACCGGUCCGGCACAACACCCUCUUCCUCCAUCUGAAAGUAAAGUGCCAUGGCAUCUUCAUACAGACCCAGUUCAGCGUACCCAGAUAUCAACGAAUUCCAAGCAAACGCCGAGCGAUUUCGCCUAGACAUUUGAUCGAACAGUCGAUGGGCUUCCUCGAUCCGCCCAAUUGACGCAUACAACCUAAGCAACUUGGAUGAAAGAGCAACACUUUUACGUAAGAGGCUGGUGGGUAUAAGGCGGUGAAUUCGGAUACCAUGAUCAAAGGCCUGUAAUUGGAAACAAGUCUCAAGAAGCGAAGAAAAGAUCUGGGCAUCGACUGUAAUGCCGUCUUGUAUAGAGGCCUGGAGGUCGCGGAGAAGGGCUUCAAGGGCUUGAAGUUUGGUGUGAUUGCGGGGUUUGUGAUUGAUUAAGAGUGGCGUUGGGGAUGAUUUCGGGAAAACGAGGUUGGGUUUUGUGUCUCGAUGAAAUUGUUUUUGCUUUUGCAAUUGGGUCUUGUUUAUUUUCAGAGAUUUGUGGAGACACAGAGGCUGUGUUGCAGUCAGCAUUUCUGUUUUUCAACCCUAAAAUGUAGUGUUAAGCACAUUCUCUGUAUCAUUUGUAUUCUUCCAUUUCCAAAUAAGAAAAUUUGUUUAAUUUUGCUGUAAUAUAUAUCAUUAAUAAAAUUUGUCUUUUUUUUUUUUUUUUCUUUUUUCCUUUUUUUUCUUGGUCUUUUUCCAUUCCCGAAAAUGAUUUCACACAUUUCAUCAAAAUUAAUACCGACUAGUAUGAUAUUAGAAUUCAGGUGUUUGUUUUAAAAAAAUUUAUUAAAAAUAAUUUAUUUUCAAACUUUAAAUUAUUAGUUUUUCUAUUUUUUCAUGAUUUAUUAUAAAUUUUUUGUUAAAUAGAAAAAAUUAAAAUAUUUGAAAUUUUCAAAAUAAAAAAAGUAACAUAUUAAUUUUUUUUUUCAUUUUUUAAUAUUUAAUAGAAGUAAAAUGUUUCAAAAACAAACAACUUAAUACUAAUACUAUUAAAAAUUAUUUAGUUUUAACUUUUAUUUAGAAUUAGGUAAAAAAAAAAACCAAACACCACCUUAAAUCUAUGGGCAAAGUCAAAAGAUAAUAUUUCAUAGCCUAAAUUUAAAUUUAAUCAACUUUAUUUAUUUUAAAUUAUUGCUUAAUAUUUUAUGAAAAUGUUUUUAAAAACAAUUCUAAAAUACCAUUCUUGAGAAUAGUUAUUAAAAAUAAUUCUUAAUUGUAUUCAAGAACAAAAUUUUAUUUAAAAAUUCAAAUAUAAAAAAUAAUUUCCUCUGCUUAUCUUUGAUAAAAGUACUAGACAUUUUAUAAUGCAAAAAUUUGUAAAGUAUUCUCUAUAUUUUCAAUAAUUACUCAAAGCACUUUAUAAAAGCAAUUAAAGACAAAAACAACCUAUUUUCACAAUAAAUUCUUAAAAACUUAUUUUAUAUCAAAAGUUUGUUCAACGUAUAUUUGAAUUAAAAAUUUAUUUUUUUAUUUUAAAAAAAGAAAAAUUAUUUUUAAGAAUAAUUACCAAACAAACACCUAGGUAUGACAAAUUGUUAAAUAAAAUUAUUAAAUAUACAUAUUUACCUUCUCAAUACUAAAUAGUGAACUUAUAUCAAGGAAAUAAAAAGGAUAAGGGCUGAUAAUUAUGACAAAAAAAAGGGCAAUUAGAAAAAAAAAAUUUCUUGUACUUUACUAUAUUUAUUAAAUUAUUUAAAAUAUUAGAUAAUUCAAAUUAAAUUAUUAAUUUGUAUCAAAAAAUUAUUUUAUUAAGCUUAUUUGAGCACUUUUUUAAUUUUCCAUUAUCACGUAGGAUAUAAUAAUAAUAAUUUUUAUUUUUAUAAUCAAGGAAUCUUCUAUGGUCAAAUCCUUAAGGCUAUGUUUGGUUCUCAGAAAAUUUGAGGAAAAAUGCAAGGAAAAGAAAAUACAAAGAAAAAAUAGAAGGAAAGAAAAAGUGGAGAAAAAUAAAAAAUGGAUUAAAAGUUGAUAAGUUAUUUUUAUUUUUUACUUCAAACUCAUUUUAUUUAUUUUAACUCAUUAAUAUAAAGAUUAAAUAAUUUUAAAAUACAUAAGUUUUUAAUUAGUUUUAAUUAUAUUUGAUUUUCUUUUAUAUUUUUCAUAAGACAACCAAACAUGAAAAAAUCAUUUUUCUUUGCAUUUUUUUUCUUUCCUUAGUAUUUUUCGGGAACCAAACAUAACCUAAGACUCUCCACGGGGACCCUCGAGGUGUUAAACGUCCUGCAAAAACCAACACCGAGUAAAUUUAAGAUAUCAUCAAUGACAAAAUUCAAAUCUAAGAUCAUGUGUCAUUUACCGAGACCACACUUCCCAAUGUUCAUCCUGACCAACUAGGCUAUCUUGACUAGUCUGGGUAUAAUAAUUAUUCAAAACAUUUCUAUUCAAAGCCAAUUUUUUGCCUUGGCCAAACCAGGGAACCUUCCUUAUCCGGAAAAAAAAAACAUGUCUAUUGUUUGUGAUUUUAUUUAAUCAUAAGAUGUACAACAUAUUCUUUUUUCAAUACCAUGCAGUUCGACUACAACACCAAUAGUUUGCAUAAAAUAUGAAAGCGUGAUUCUCCGCUUUUCUUAGUACUACUUGGUUCACAUAACCAUCGUUUCCGUUGCCUAAAGCAACUACACAACUUGUGGUUUGCACAGCAGGCAGGAGAUGUAGAAAUGCACCCAGCAACAUCAAACCAAACUCAUAGUCCCACCAAAACAACAACAAAAAAUUGAUAAUGAGAGUUAUCCUGCAGAUGGUUUUUCCCUUUAUGAAUUCCCGCACUUUCCAAGAAAAAAAGCCGUGCUUGCUAACUAACCUAUAAUGCUCCUUCAAAAGAAAAGCAAGGUGAUUCCAACCAAAAACCUUGACCUUCCAUGCUUUGCCCUCUUCUUUGUCUUCUUCAUUUCCUCCUCAUUUAGUUGCCUAAUGCAGAAUAAGAUCUAUUUAAAUCAUAGUCAUUCAAAAAUUGACAUCUACCAAUAUGUCAUGUCCUGCUAGAUAAGUAAAUAGUUCAUCUGGCGAUAAAUAUGAAUUCAUAUGCUUGGAGCUUAUUUGAGAAAAUUUUAAAGUAGCUUUCUAUUUCUUAAAUACAGAAAAUUGUUUUCUAGACUCAAAAAUCCAUUUGCUAAUUUUUUUUUUUUGACAGAAAACCAUUUUUUUGGAAAGAAGGUGUUUUUUUGAGAAUAUUUUUUAAUUGCUUUCAUUUAUUUUCUAAGGAUCAUUUUAAAAAAUAAUUGUCUACAUUUGGAGAAUGAAAAUAAAAUGCAUAUAAAAGUUAUUUCCAAGAAAUAUUUGAAAGCACAGAAAACAAAUUGAGAACAUUCUAAGUUCCUAAACAUACUUUUGUUCGAGGAAACAUAUAGAAUUACUUUUGAAAACAGUUCUAAAAAACAGGUCCUCCGUGACCAAGUACUAGAGAAUAGAAAAAAUGGCGAGAAUACAUACCUCACAUACAGCAAAAACUGGGCGAACUUGUUCAAAAAUCUCAUCCACGGUACCUACUGCAUUAAUCUGCAGGCAUAGGCUUCUGUUACUACAACUGAUGUUUUAAUUCUUAACAACCUUUAUUUUUAAUUUUUUAAUUUUUUAUGAUAGAUAAAGAAAAGUUGUAUACAAAGAUAAGAGGAGACCAAAAACAACACCCUCAGAGUAUACAGGAAGUAUACAAAAGAAGCCAAAAAGCUCAAACCAGAGGGGGAGGGAUAGAAACAAAAAACAUUACCUGCCCUUACUUAGAGCCUAACCAAUCAAUAAAGGUUACAAGAGAAAAAUGGCUCAAAUCUAUAGACACCCUAACCCAAGACCAAAGGUUACAUAUAAAAGAAUUUUUCAAUCUUUGGAGCGAAAGCUCCUCAUUACCAAACGUUAACAAAUUCCUUUUCUUCCAUAUUGUCCAAAAUAUACAUAAGGGGUCACUUGCCAAGCCUUUUUACGAGCUUUACCCACAAACAACCAACUAAAAGGAUAACAAACAAUAGUUGAUAAACAAACUGCCAUAAACUCAGCCAAGUUAAUUUAAAAAGAGAAUUGGUAAAGCAAUUUAUCAAAUAUCAUAAAUUGCAGACCAAAGAUGCUCUUACACUGACACCUGAGGAAGGAUGAGGGAUCCAAGCCACCAACUCAUAAUGGGAUGUAAUUCCAACUCUAAGCAUAUUUGUGUGUUGAUAAUUCUAGGUCAAAGUUCCCAUUGUUUUUCUCCUAGCUCAAUCACUUCAAAUCUUCCCUUGGACUCUUGUCAUUCUAAUUUUUUUGUGAUUUAAGAUUGCUAGAGGAGAUGGUUAGUGUUUUUGAGGCGAUAGAUAAUAUCAAACAUUGGUUGAAAAAUGAAGUUGAAGCUUAAGAGUGUCAAAAUUUGUAUUUAAAACAUUUGGAUCGAUUUUUUAUUAAUCAAACUAAAGAGUAACAGUUUCUAUUGUACCCAUAUUUUUUUUAAUCUUGUCUAAUCGAACAAACUUUGACCACAUCUGUGAAUCUUCAUUAUUUUCCUAUUGAAUCUCAAUUGUUUGAUAGGUUUUAAAACCUUAAUAUUUAAGCCAUUUUUCCAUAAGAAGAAGAGGUUGGGAGAGCUAAGUGACUCCUCUUUGAGUUUUACGUUUCUUACAAAACUUGGAGUGUGUUUGUUUUGAGAUAAAAUCUCAUGAGUUUGAGUAGAAAAUCAUUUUUGAGUGAUAAACUUUCUUUCAAAAUGGGUUGAUUCAGUGUGGGUUUCAUCCCUACUCUUAUAUUCAUCAUAUUUGGGGUAAAACCCAAGUUUCUUCUUGUAAGGAUUCAAAAAAAGGUUGAGAUCAAGCUUGAUGUGGAUUCCCAAUAUUCUCUGGAGGAAGAAAGUGGGUAACUAGAGUUUGAAGAUUCUAGGCAAGUGGUCCGGGAAAGGAUUGAAGGGUUGAACUAGGUAAAUCUUUGCGCUCAGUUAAUUUUAGUGGAUGUUUUGAUCACUUGAGACUUGUGGUUUUUCAUCUUUUCGAAGGUUUUCCAUGUUAAAAUUUUUGUGUCAAUGUCUCUUUAUCACUAUCUCAUUUUUUGAUUAGUUUAUGUUGGCUUAUGAAAUUUCCAUUGAGUUAUUUUUCUUAUUGAUAGGGAUUAUGAGUUAGAAUUGGAUCAUUUAAGCUUUGAAAGAGUAAAAUAUUUUGGUUUUGAUGUUGAUGUCAAUGGACAUGUGAAAAUGUGAAUUUGAGUUGAUGCAAUGUCUUAUACAUCUUGGUUGGGGAGUGUUGUUUCAUUUGCAUAUGACUGGCAUUGACUAUCUUGUUGGGGAGUGUUGGUGCAUCCAUUAUUGCUUGUGAUUUGCUUGCUUGCUAAGUAGGAUUGAAAAAGAAAAUCAAAACAAUUGAAAAAUCAGGGGAGUUGUUAGCAUUUGUGAGAUAUCAUCUCAAAUAGUUUUUAAAACACCUAUUCACCCCCCUCUAGGUGUUAUCCAGAGGUGAGAUUCAUCUUCACCAACUACUGAAUUGUAUAAAACAAACUAUCCCAAAUCCUUUUUUUUCUUUCCUUAUUCCUACCAAACAUUCACUUGUUAAUACUGAAUGAGUACCUUGUAAAGCUUUCCCUUCUCAGAGUAAUAUUUGAUAACAGGAAGAUGCAAUGCUGUAAAAACUUCAAGCCGUUUCUUGAUUGUAUCUAUGUUGUCAUCAACUCGGCCCUGGAUUUAGAAGAUAUCAUGCAUGAUUGAAGAAAACAAUGGUCCCCAUGUGAUAUGAUAAUACGGAAAUUAAAAUGAAUGCACCUCAUUACGGCUUAGCAGUCGCUUCACCAUCUCUUCUUCAGGGCAAUGAAAGAAAAGCACAAAGUUUGGUUCUGCUCCAAUCUGCAUUUGAGAAAAAUAGUCAUCCUUCAUACAUGCAGUGUUUUAUAAUGGAUUCAGUACUGCCUUAUACUACUAAUCUCCCUUUCAGAUUCUUCAUAUCUGAUUUCUUAUUUUUCUUUUAGAUUUCAUGACUUGGCUACAGAGUUCAUUCUUCCUGGAGGGUCAAGAUCUCACUUCAGACAGUUCUUUGAAACCAUUACCCAAGAUAUUCUCGAUUAGAUUUCAGAACUGGAAACAAAAAAAUCUUCCAUUAAACAGUUUUCAUAAGGAAACAAAUUGAAGUAACUUACAACUCUUUCAAAUGCAAUGCGGUUCUCCUCAGUUCGCGGAAAUCCAUCAAUGAGAAAUUUAUUAUUUUUACUUGACUCCAUUUCCUUCUCAAUCAGUUUGACUGUCACUUCUGAAGGGACGAUUUUUCCCUCUCUAAUACUGUCUAGAAUCAUGGAACUGAAAUUAAAUUCCAAAUAUCAUUAAAAGGGUCAUAAACUCGAAGAAAUGUUUCAUAAAAGAUUUUUAACAGCAAUAGAGGGACAUUGUUACCCAUGUUCACUAUUACAAGAUAUUUCCCUCCUUAACAGUUCUCCAGCACUUAUGUGUGUAAAUCCAAAGGUCUCAACAAUCUUUGCACAUUGUGUACCUUUUCCACUACCAGGGCCACCUGAGAGAAUGGAGCAAAAUGAAUUAAAUUUCAUGAACAUGCAACAAAAUGUUAUAGUGUGAACAACGGUCGCCAGAAAUAAUUAGAGGGCUUUUCAGUACAACAUUAUUUUGCAUAGCUAAGGAAUGGCUUUUCUUUGUCAAAUAUCAAUUUGAGGACCAAGUGACACCUGAUGUACAAGUUACUAUACCCUAUGACAACUUUGUUUAACCCACAUUGUGUCAAAGAAGCUUUUGGAAUAGAUAUCACUCUUAUAUAUCCAUGCGAAAUAUCACAGGGUUCAGAUAUCAAUAGCUCUACUGUCCAUUCUUGUGUUUCCUUUCAUAUGGAAAAAUCAAAAUAAAACUCCAAUUGAAGAGUUAUAUUAAUGAGAUAGCAAUUAUCAAUUUAAUAUUUGGCAAGCAAGACAAGCAUGGGACUUGAUUCGGUGAAGGGAAGAAGAAAAUAACAAUAAAACCCUUUCAAAAGUUCCAUUUUGAUAUUUAGGGUUUGCAUAUCCUAAAUGUUUAUGAGUGCAAGAGGGUGAAACCAAAGAGAAGACAGUAGGAACAUGUGACAGGAAAAAAAUAUUGAAUAAAGGAUACUUCCACUCCUCUGGGCCCACAUAAGGCAGAAGGAAGAACAGAAUCACCACAAAAUAGAAGUUUCUGUUAUACUCGACUUUAAUGCAAUUCUUAGACCAUGGGUAGUCUCUAGAUGCAAACUAAUGAUAACUUUAAGGAGGCAAAGCCACAUGAAAAAUCAUAGUCCACCAUUAGAUAACUGAUAGCAAAAAAACCAUUUCAAUGAAGUCAAGCAUUUCCAUUUUUAAUGACUCAAUCCCCUUCACAUUAAUUAUGACACUUCUUAUUGUUAAAGGCAGUCCCAAAGAGUUCCUAAAACUCCCUGACUAUGAAAUAAUAUCAUAUUGUAACAAUUGAAGUAUAAUAAUAACUAUUGGAAUAACCUCUUCCAUUUGGUUAAUUCACAAAGCAAACAUUUCAACAUGAAGCAAUACCCAAGGAAUGAAGUACAAAGCAUGAGCCUUGGAAUAUAUUAUUUUUGUGGUGGGUGUCAAAACAUUUUGAUUGAGCCAGCAUCAGGGCAUAAACCUUUAGAACUAUGAUUUAAACCAAGAAACUCUAAGAAAAUAUGAGCAUAUAUUUCAUAACUGAGUGCAAAUAUAGACCUGGAAACCUGGAUUGAGGUUCCAAGUGCAAAGAAUGCACAAUUGUUACCUACAACAAAAGUUAUGAAUGGUGUUUUCUCAUCAGAAGAUAUUCCAGCUUUUGCCUACAUCUCAGCAAGAAAAGAACAAGUUAAAGAUAAGAGAAACAACAUAUAAUUAAUAUCUUUAUAUACAUUCCCAUACUUCAUAAAUAAAUCUUCCAGAAAUCCCCUAGGCUAUGAAUCAAGAACUGGCAAAUUAUGUAAUGUAAACUUAUGUUAACAUUUGUCAUGUGUGGGUGGGUGAAGGGUGAGUGUGUGUUUCUAGGUGUGCGAUCCAUCUCACUCCCAAAUUUUAGGACACAAAGACUUGAUUAAAAAGGAUCUGAAUACAUGGAUGCAGCCUACAUAAUUUAUGGCUGUCUUAGCUCAAAGAAGCGAUAAAGACUUAAGGGCAGUGAAAUAAAAUGACUUGAAAGUGAAAACCCAAUCCUAAAAUCUCUUACCCACUCUCUCUCUCUCAAACUUCUCAUUUGUUGAUCACUACUCUAGUUCUCUCUCAAAGCCCCCACCACAACCUUUUCCUUCUUUUGAAAAUAUCAAAACUUCUAGGGACACCAUCUCCAACUUUUCUUCUCCUCUCUUUUAUUUCUUUCCUUUAUUUAUUUUUUUAAUUUUAUUAUUUUUUUGGAGAUAUUACAUAGUCUCCAAUAACGCCUCCCACACACCCACUCUUCCUCUCUGGUACCAGAAAACCAAAUGGACCAGCAUGCCUAUAGAUGCAAUUUUAUUUUUCUUUUUACUCUCUUCUGCUAUUUAAGUUUCUUGUACAAGGCAAAUGCCCUUAUGCUUUAUCUCCCUUGAGGCAACUGUCUUCACAUAUGUUUAUUUUGCUGUACAAUUACCUAAUUUUAUCUCCCUCCUCCCUCCCUUGCACCUAGACCAAAGAUUUAUGAAGGAUGCCUAAUGCUUAAAAAAAAUCAACCAAAGAUGUUGGUCUGAGAUGACUGUCAUUUCUAACCCAUAUCUUGGACCCACAUCCACUUGUGGUAAAGUGAAAAUUCCAGGCAUUUCAAAUGUAAGCCAAAAAGUCUACAAAAUACUGCAAAAACAGCUAACUCAUGUUAAAACAGGUUGCUGAAAUAAUGUCUCAGAGUUUGAAUGAACAUUUAAAUUUGUAGGACAGUAUCAACAUAGCACAAUUUUUCUCCUAUAUUCAGGUUUAAAAAUGCAAUGAAUGAGAAGUAAAAUGUGCUUCAGAAACAACUAAAUGGCAUGUGGUUUAACUUGAUGACAUUACAAGACCUAUUGGAGGCCCAAAGUUUUCCAAUCUGCCUGCUUGGUUUUGCUCAACUAAAAGACCAAAAAGGUUCAAAUUGAAUACACAACCCAAAUUCCAAGGUCAAACUGGGCCAGAAUAUGAAUAAUUGAUGUAAUGCAUACAAAUUUUCAUGUCAGACCAAAUUUUCAAUUAGAAUGCUCAAAAAUCUGCCAGAUAGAUUUUUUUAGACCAAAAAGAAAAAAGCUUCUGGUAACAUUUUCUUUUUUCACUUCUUUGCUUCCCUAGACAACAUAUUCCGUCCAAUAUCUAGGUCUAAACCAAGUUAAACAAGGAAACUUGGUUUUAUGCUGUUAAUUCAUGCAAAUCCACCUUAAACCUGUGAUAUCUAGAGCCUUCACUUUACAUGUCCGACAAGGUAAUCAUAUCUUGGACACAGUACUUAUGUCUGACACAACAGUUGUGUUUCAGAUAUGAUAGUCCCAACUUUUUUCUUAGGUACCUUUCAUAAUAAUUGGUCUAGCUGUAAGCAGGAGAGAACAAAAGAAAGAGAUAAAGAUAUGAUAAUGAUAUAAACAGAAUAAAGUACAGAAAACUAAUUCCACAUGGAGACAGAGAUAAAAAAAAUUGACUUUUAUAGAAUACCAAGAUGGCGGGGCAGAGGAAAGUGAAAGAAAAAUGUUUGCACAAUACUUCCAUUGGAUUGUUCGAUAUUAAAUGCAAUGGAACACAUUCACAUUAAACAUCAUAAAUAUCUUUAAAGGAAGUCAAAGGGGUGAGUACAAAAGUUUUAAUAUAUCUUCAAAAGAAGUUGAAGGGUGUGGUGAGGGAAUAGAAAGUUGGACAGUGAGAGAAGUGAUCAAGAAGUUGAGAGGCAUGAAAAUAGAGAGGGAAAGUAAGGGAGAGAUUUUAAGAUUGAAGUUCAUCUCUUUCAAGUCAAAUCUCUUCAUUACCUUAUUCUUCAUCACUUAUUUGAUUUAUAGGAGCAUAAACAAAAUAAAAUCUUUUUCUAAGCCGACUUACGAAAUAAAGAGAUGAAUAGAUAAUUAUUUAAAAAAUUGAUUAUGAAAUAAACUAAUAAUUUAUCUUCACAUAAAUUAUGAAGUAAAUAACUAAAGUUGUUAUGCAUAUACACAUUUGUACCCAAUAUUAAGAUCCUCUAUAGCCAAAUCCUCAUAUCCUUAAAUUUGGUAGUUUAAGGACAUCUAGGACAUCUAGACCAACACUCACACCAGAAUCUAUGUAGCAUAAUCUUAAGCCCAUUCUUUUGCAGCCCUUACCUAGAAGAUCAUAGGUGAAGUUGCUAGGAGAUGUUAAAUUAGCCCUGGAUGGAGCAAAAUGAAUUAAAAAGAUUCACAUGGCCUGCCUGUUUAAUUAAGGCCAUUUCAAGUUGGCUUAAGUACAGAAAAAUGUGCUUAUGAGAAUUCAGGGAACAAUUACUGCCACCACCUUUAAAUACAUAUUUCUUCACAUCUGAUUGAUAUAAACUUCAGAAGCUUUAGCAUAUGAACCAAUUUAUUGAAAAAAAAAAAAGAAUGCAAAAGCCGGUUAUAAUUUCAUAGAAACUGAUUACAAUUAUAUGCAACAUUAUCUCAACAAUAAGAAAAGAUCCUCAUAACAAGCUCUAUGUACCGGAGUGAGUAUUUCUGUGGUGAAUAACUCCCAAAUCUUCCCUCCAUAUGAUGCCUGCAUUAGAUAGAAGAAACAAAAAGUCAUAAGUAGCUAAGGAUUGGUAAAAAAGAGAUAUAAACAAUUAAGAAAAUACAAUUAGAGCAAUUAAAUAUCUAAACUGAUAGAAUUCCCCAUGCUGUGUCUUGAAGUAAAUGCCUAAAAGACACUCAUGAAAAACACUAAAAAAGCUCAUAAAACUACUGGAAUCAACUACCUAAUAACCCUCCUCUUUACCCUAUCAGUAAACUGCUCUUCCAACUCUAAAUUUGAUUACUGUACAAAAUACUUCACUAAAAGGAAGUUUUGACUUCAUAACUGUAAUUGGGCUGGUGCAUCUUAUCAAUAAUAAUCUAAUGCUAUGUUUACUGCCAAAUAUGGAUGAAUCCCCUACUCAUAUAGAUAGAGCACAGCACUGUAUAAGCACUGCUUUUACAUUUCAAAGUUCAAUUUAUAGUUCUCAUAACUUUUAUUCAUGUACAGAUAUUUUGAGGCCAAAACUAAAAAGAAAAGCACUACUAGAACUGAAUGCAGAUAUAUCAGAAUCCUUUACCAAAUACCACUGCGCUCAAUUCUGACUCCCAUAAAAUAUCUGCAACUAAAUGGUUGAUAUGUAAAGGUGUGUUAUUCAUAGUUAAAGGCUGGAAGGCCAUUUCAUGCUAACAUUUAGCAGGCUUGUAUUGUAUUGAACAAUUGAUUAGAGGCAUGCCAAGACCAGUUCUUUAUGGAUUAAUUUCUUUCCAACUAGAACUUAUACUUCACUGGUUUGUGAGUUGGGUUGGACUAGGAGCAAAGCUUGGUAUUGUUGUCAGUAAGAGGUUAGUUUUGGGAGGUUGGAGCAAAAAUAUGUGCAAUAAUACUCAGCUGGAUAUUCCUCUAACUUUGGACUUGUUUAAUGACUGAAACUCCUAUUAUGAUUGGUUAUGCUUCUUCUUGCAGAAGAAAGUUCUGGUAUAUAAUGUGUAAUGAGGCCCCUUUUCCAAUAUCUCCUCCAGUUUCAGGCAAUGAUUUAUUGAUUAUCGAUUCUGAUCUUGAUCCUACACCUUUUUUUCCCCAGUGUUAACCAUUUCCAUCAAUAAAGGCAUGUAUCCUUUCCUUUGCUACCUUAUCUCCAAUUUUAUGUCUUGCAUUGAUUAUUUUCAGAAUACAAUUCUUUCAUUUUUUCUGGGUCACACUCUAUUAUGGUAAUUUCAUAAUAAAAAGCCUCACUGAAAAGUAGAAACUAAACAGAGAUAAGAAUGCUACUGCAACUCAAGGAAAAGCGUCUUAUGGUGAUACCUCUUACCAUCUCAACUUCAACUAUUCUCAAGCUUGUCAAAUUUUACAGGUAACUCUAUGAUCAUAAAGCCCCAAGGAUACUGUUUUAUUUUCAAAGCGUUGUCCAAACUAGUAAAAGCUUUCAAUGAUGCACCAAUCUUAUAAGAAGACAGUCCAAACAAGAAAAAAGAGAAAAGACAGGGAAGACCAAAAGAAAAAUGGCCCCAUUCUAACUGGUAACAUCAACAAUCCCCCACUAUACAUUUCUUUCUAAAUUAUACCACCUGUAGGCAGGCCUCUGCCCUCUCAUGUUCACUCCACUUUUAAGUUUUAGCUAUGUAUUUGGAAUAGCAAUCUAUAUCAUUAUCUUCAUUAUUGAUCCUGUAUAUAGAUGCCUGUAUAUAUAUUUAUCCUGUAUAAGGCUCUGAGUAGCAUAUGGUUCUAACUGAAAGUUCAUCUGCCAUCUCAACAUCGCCUGAAAAAUCAGGCCAACAACAACACCUAAGGCUUGGUGCCCUUCCAAUCAAACUGCUAGCUUGUAAUCAGAAAAGGUGCCACAUCUAACAACUUUCAAGAACUUUAGCACCUGGCUCUGCCUAUCUGUGAUGAUCACAAGAUCACCUGAAUUUCUGUUAAUAGGGACCUGCACUAGGAUAAGUUCCAUUUGGUGGGGCAGGGCAUCAUGGCAUAUUUUUUCAGCGAUUGAUACCCAACAAGCCCUAUUUAAGAGAUAAUCCGCAUAAAAUAUAGUGUAAGAUGAUGAUUUAACCACUUAAAUUUAAUUUUCUUCAAAGAUGCUAAAUAAUUCAAUCAAUGGAAAUUUUUUUGACAAUGUUUAGGACCAAAACUGUGAAAAUAAGAUCCUAUAUAGUAAAAUAUGAAAACAGAUGAGUUAUGAAUCACACAGAAAUUUUGUACUAGUAAAUCCACAUGGGCUUCAAUGUUUUAACACAAACAUGAAAUUUGUAAAAGGGGCCAAACAUUAUAUGUCAACAUAUUGUCACAGGAUGCUUCAAAUGAGCCUCCUCAUGGGUUUAUAUAGAGCCCAGGAAACUUCUGGAAACUCCUACAUUUAGCCAUUAGUGGGAAGAGUGUGGAAGGUUCUAGAGAUGCCUAGAGAAGUCCACACAUAUCUACACUAUGGUGGAAGGCAUGAGAGGAGUCCAAGGCUUUCUAAAGAAUUCUAGAGAUCUCUUGUAUAUUCUUGUACAUAGACUUAUACAUAGAAUUGUGUAGGGUGUUCUAGAAUCUUCUUGAUUUGUGAGAAACCCUCCAAGGUUCUAGAGAGUUCCAUUGGUGCUUAUAAAUAGGUGAGAGCCUCAUUUGGCUAAGACACCAAGCAAGUGAGUUCCCAAAAGCACUUGUAAAACUUCCUUUGAGUAAUAAAAGCUUCCAUUUUUUAAGAGUUGCCUACUACGCCUUUUAAAGCUUCCAAGUCGUGAGCAUCUUAGCCCAGCAAGCUAAGCAUUGGGAGAAAGGCUGACUUAGCAAGAUCAAGUGUCUUGAUUUGUCUAAAUGUAGCAUGAGCUUAGAAAAAGACUAAGUUUGUGACAAUAUGCUUCUUAACAGGAGCAACACUCCUCCCUUAAGAAUCAGUUUUAUUUGAUGAGUAUUAACCAUUUAAAUCAAACAUUCUUUUCACAAAACAUUCCAGAAGAUUUCCACCAUCCAAGCAACUUGACACAAUUUGAAUAAGACUAGCUAUAACAAAUCAAUAAAUAGAGUUUCCCUAUGAAAAACUUGCUUUACUGAGCAGCACAUUAUCAUGGAGGUACAAGAAUUCUCUGCCUACACAUGGCUAUGAUUGUUGAAAUAAUGAAAAUUCUCCAAUCCAUAUUCUUAUAUAUUUUUUUUUCUAUGAUUUCUUAGCAAAAAAAUGGCACAUUAAACAAAAUUAAUAGUUAGAUCUUCAACUAAGCCAAAUUGAUGAAAUGUAUUCAAUUAUUUGAAGAACGACAUUUAGACAAAAAUAUGGAAAUUAUAAGAGAAUUACGACAUACCUGGUUACGAAUAGAUGGUUUGGAAGAAGAAAUAAAUGGAGAAAGCGAAGUCACACGUCUCCACAUAUCUGGGUUAUGUACCCUUCUCCACGAUUUCUUGCUCUAGUUUCUGAUUCCAAUGAGACAUUUCCUCAGAUAAGUUAUAGACUAUAUACAUGGGGAUAUAAGACAAAAUUCAAAUUAAAUGGGAAUCCUAAAAAAGGGUAUAUGAAAUCAUACUUAAGUGAAUUAAGAACUAAAUAUUAAAAAAAAAUAAAAAAAUCUGCAUUUCUGCAUAUCAUAUCUGCAUUUUCUUUUUUUAUUUAAUUAACUACCCCUAUAUUCUUUUUAACACCAGCCUCAACUUAAGCAUAGAUCAGUCAUUCUUCACAUCAAAAGGCCAACAAUCAAAUUAUCAACAAAUUUCCCACAAACCAUAAAUACCGAAAAAAGGAAAAAGAAAAAAAAAAAUGAAGAAGUCAAAUUCUUACAUGUUAUGCUAAAUCUCUUGUCCUUCUUCACAUAAACAGGGCUUAUGCUUUAAGAUAAUCUCUAAUCUGGUUGGUAUUAACUACAAAACAGCAUGGUUUUUCAUCAAAAACCUUCUGGGUUUUUUCAUCAAACAGCUCGAAUGCAUUAUCAAAGCUACAUUUCAUCAAACAAAUUCUUUACAUUAACGAACAUGAAACAACACUAAACCAUCCCACGAUAGCACAAGCUUAACAAUGAAGAGAAUUCACAAAAAUUAAAAUUUUGAUUCCUGAAAUCAUUAAAAAUACAAAUAAAUAAAAGCCAACAACCCAACUCAAAAAAAGAAAAAAAAAAUCAUGCAAUAGAUUCAAAUUCAGUAAACUUGAAUGUCCAAAUGAUGAUCAAAUUCAGAAAACCUUCAAUUUUCCAGAUGAAAUUCAGAAAUUGGAAAAUUCUUGAAUGAAUCUACCAAACCUUAGGAAAAAUCUGAAAAUGGAGAAGUGUUCGGGGUGGCAUGUCGGUCUAACCCCAACGCAGUACAAAGAACGUGGGCCGACCUUCGACCCAAACUAAGAGGUAAAGUUUUGGGCUAGCCCAUAAAAAUCUACUUUGGGCUAGUGGGUUUUAGCCAAAACUCAUAAGUGAUGACGAUGAUAGGAAAUAAAUAAUAUAAAUUUUUAUAAUAUAUUUUUAUGUUAAAUAAUCUUUAUAUAUAUGGAUAGGAUGGGGUCAACUUGUCCCUGAAUCAGACUAGAAAUUUCAAAAAAUCGCCAUAUUAGGAGGGGUGGGGGAAGAGGAGGGGGCUUGGUGAGAUAGCACAAUAGUCCCAAAAAAAAAAAAAAAAUUCUUUGUUCCAUUUUCAUCUCUAGAGGAUGAAAUUGAUGGAGUAAUCAAAAGUUAAUAAGAAAUAUGUUACAUUGUAUAAGAAUAAAAUAAUAACAAAUUGAAACCAUGAAGAAUGAAAAAAGAGAAAAAAAGAAUAUUACAUUGCUUAAAAUAAAUAAAAAAUCUCAAAAUCGAAUAGGAAAAAAAAAAUUAUAGAUUUUGCCUUCCACCAACAUCCUUGUGUAUAUAUAUAGAACAUGAAAUGCUCACCAAAUGAUUAGUAUUUAUAUCAAGUGUAAAUAUAUUCUUUAAGCAUUAUAAUUUGCUUAUUGUUAUCCUUAUUUAUAGGAAACUAUUGAAUGUUAAUACCAUAUUUCUAUCUAAGCAUAGAAAGUCAAUUAUAGCAACAUUGUGAUAGGGAAUAGAUUAGCAUGUCCUUUUAUUAACCUUGUUAAUGCAUUCUACAAGAUUAGUUAUCAUCAUCCAAAUCAAAGGCUUCUACAUUGUAUUUUCCAAAGUUUGAAAGAAUAUUAUAAAUACCAUUUCCCAAAAUUGUGAGAAUGAUAUUAUGAUCCAAUCAUAUUCAUGAAUCUUUUUCUUAUACUUGUUUUUGAGAUUGUUAGUCACAUAUCUUAGAUUAUAUCAAUCAUGAAGAACAUAAGACUUGGUCCAUCUUGUUCCAUCCUGUUGGAAGCUUUGGAUUUCUUUGUUCCCAUACAUUGGAUAGUAUAGGUGCAUGCAAACUACCUUAGGCCUAUAGAUCCUAUGAAAUGGAAGCAAAAAAUCAUAUUUUUACAAAUCUAGGAUCCAAAGAAAAGGCAUUAGAAAAACUAAACCUUUGAAUCGUAUGUUCCCGAAUCAAUUCCGCUCACUGAAGAUAAAGAAUGAAGAAUCCGAAAGUCUCAAACGCCCAACAUUUUUUUGUUUGAUGACUUAAACUACGAUAUUGACACUCCAAAGUGUGGGCUUUGGAAGGAAAGAAUUUUAAACUCUUUUUUUCUAGAAGGGAAGAUGAUUGUCUCUCAAAAAUGAUGGAAACCCUAACCUUUAAGGGGUUAUUUAUAGGGUUGCCUUAUUGGGCUUAAGUGACUUGAACCUACUAAGGCUUGGAAUUUAUUAAAGAAAACCAUUUUGAAAUUUAUUAAAAACUAUUUUCUAGAAAUUUUAUUAAAACUGAUUUUUCUGAAAAUUUUAUUGUAUAGUAAAAAAAAAAAAAAAAAAAACUCAAGCGAGAAAAAUAAAUCAAAACCCAAAUAUGGCAUGAAAUGAAAUAUGAGACAAAAAUACUAGCAUAAAUAGAAUUACAAAAAAAUUAAGACAGUGAAAUAUGAGGCAACAGGACUAAUAUUAAUAGAAUUAUAGAAAAAUUAAGACAAUGAAAAAUGAGGCAACAAGACUAACAUAAACAAAAUUAUAGAAAAUUUAGGAUAGAAAUUGCACAAAUAUAGAAAACUUGAAACAAAAUACGUAUAGUAACACAUGUCAACACAUAUCAACAAAAUAAUAAAUAAACAUGACAAAUUUAUAGAUGGGUAGAAAAAGUUUGGCAAAUGUGCAUACAUACAAAUUAUAGAGUAUAAUGAACAUAUAACCCAAAUAGGCAAAGAACUGAAUAAAUGAGAUGGAUAAAAUAUUUAACUACCAAAAUGCUUAUAAAUAUAAUAAAUAUAAAACAAGAUAAAUCUAAUAAAUCCUAAAAAGAACAAAAACAUAAUACAAAUAAAGAGAUGAAGAAGAAAUAACUUACUUGAAUGCCACCCUAAAUUGAUCUAGACUCUCCGAACCUCCAAAGGCAACUCCAACAUACGAAUACAAUAUAAAAAAACUAAUGGACAACCCUAUAGUACAUACACAGUAAGGAAAAACUCUCUCACUAACAAUAUACAAUCAAGAAAGAAACCCCCCGAAACACACACACACACAAAGAGACAAACACAAAAAGAAUAAAGUAGCAACACCUUUUCUCUCUCUAUCGUCCUCCCUAUUGCCUAAGGCUUGUGUGCCCUUUUUAUAUAGCUUUCAAGACUUCCACCCUAAGAAAACUCUUGGGCCCAUGCAAAAAAAAUAACUCAUAUCCAUCUAUAAGGAAAUUUGAAUAUCAAUUCAUGCAAUUUUUGGAAAAAAAAAAUCUAAAAUUCAACCUCAUGCAUUUUUUUAACAAAUAAAUAAAUAGAUAAGUAAAUAUAAAAAAAUAGACAAAAAUAAAUAAAUAAUUCAUAAUAAUAAUAAUAAUAAUAAAUACUGCAAUCAAAAUUCAAAUGUUAAUCUAUUGUAAUUAAUGAUAAAAAAAAUGAAAUGUUGAAAUCUCACACCUAAAUAUUGAAAAUUCAAUCCAAGCAAUUAAAAAACGAAAAAAAAAAUCAAGCUGAAUACUCACAUAAACUUAGAAUCAUGCCAUCACAACUCAAAAAACAAACCUAAGUGCAUUAAGCCUAAAGAAUCGAUCUAAGUGAACCUAAGGGGGUUGGGUGAACUAACAUAGAACGUGCCUAAGUGAUUUGAAUGGAAAAAAAUCUCUUAGUGAACUAAGUGGAAUCUAACUUAAGGGGGUGUGUAAAUGGGCUUAAGUGGGCAUGGUGUCAUAGGAAAUGCCUAAGUAUGCUAUCCUAAUGAAGGAAAGUGCAUCUAAAAGGGCUAACAUGAAAGAAAAAGGAAAAAAAUAACCUAAAUCUAACUCAAGGUUACCAAUGGUCACAAUGAGGAGCCAUAUAAAUCCCCCAACUAGAGUCUCCAAGGUGGCUCAAAAAGUAUGAGUAGUAAUGGGCUACUAGGGAAUUGUUGUGGAGUAUUGAAAGAACACCUCAUAAUGCAUGUGCUAAGAAGACAAAAUGGGGGGUCUAUACCUAAUGCAUUCAAGUCAUGUAUAAUGCAAUAAAUGUUUGGCUAGAAUACUUAUGAGAUAUGAUGUAUGGAAUAAGGAUAGAUAAAAGUGAAACUUGAAUAUUAUUAAAUAAAUAAUAAACUUUAUAUUUGUUACAUCAUAUCAUACAUUUAAGGGUUCUAUCCUAAUAAAGAUCACCAUCAUUGAUGAUGAUUUUGCCACAAAAUAUUAAAAAUUAAAAAUAAUAUGAUAAAAAUAUAUUUAUCUUAUUUACAAAUGAUAAGAAUUUGCAAAAUAAACAAACAUUUUAUUUAAGAUUCAUAUAAAAAAUCUUUGGUUAAUGGAAAUCUUAUAUCUUGGCCUCUAAAACAUAAAACAUCAUUUUUAAAUCUAAAUCCUAAAUUAUCAAAUGUAUUAUUAUAAUUAAUAUUUUAAACUAUCAAGUGUACUAUUUAUAGGAUAAAAUUUUCAUUUUCUACCCAUUUCAUACUUAUAUUUACAUUUAAUUUAUUCUAAUUAGUUAUUUAUUAUGUAUUAUAAUUUUAUAUUUAAUGUGUCCAAAAAAUUAUUAAAGUUAAUAAAUAUGAAAUUAUUUAAAGAGUGAAAAGAAAUCUGAAAGUAAAGAGGUUGAGUAGAGAAAGCCUCGUCACUUCGACAUAUAUAAAAAAAAAAAAAAAAUGUCAAAGGUGGGAUAUCAAAGACGUAAUAUCAUUAUUAGAAUAACAUUUUUUUUUAAAAAAAUUGUACCAAGUUUAAGAAAAAUAAAGUUAAUUGCAAAGAAUGGGUUAAUUUUUUUUUCCACAUUUUAGGAAAAUAUGGAUUAAAUAAAUAAAGAAAACUAAAUAUCCAAUUGUUGUGAAUUAAAUAAAUAAACAAAACUAGAUCUCCAAAUUUUCCAACAAUUUUUUUUUUUUCGAUAUUUCAUCUUAUUUGGAAAGUGAUAGGAUCAUCGUGGAGCAAAUUUUGUGAAAAAAAAAAAAGGGUUCAUCAAGCAAAGUUUCAAAAGAAUAGAAUUGUCAAUGGAAGGACUUCAUAAUGAAAAACAUUUUUAAGGAAUUGAUUCUAACUUCUGUACGUCCUUUAAAAGGUACUACCAAUUGAUUCAAAGACUUGGAGGAUGAUCCUCAUCCUCUCGACACUUCACUCUAGAUGCUAGAAUUGAAUUAAUCGGUUCCACAGUAUGAAACUUUUCACGGGGAACAUGGGACAUGUGACAACAUAAGUAUGUACCAAACCAACAUAAAGAAACUCUAGACAGAAAGAGAUCAAUAAUAGUUCAAAAAGUGGGGGUGAUGGGGAUCAAGGCCACCAAAACCAUUCAAAUUACAGGAGUUGAGAAAAAACAUGAAACAUGGUUAAAAGAGAUGUGUUGCCAAACAGCUCAUUCUUAAUAAAUAGUGUAAAUGAGACCUUAGAAGUGUAAUAUUUGAUUUCUUGUCAAUGUAGCAAAAUGGAAAAAAAAAAAAAAGAAAAGAAAGUGAAAUAGAUAAAUAUGAAAAUCUCAAAUGAAUUAUGAUCAAAGUUAUUUUAUGGUAAAAAACAAUCCCAUCACCAACAAGUCUUAUCUCACCUAUAUCAUUGAAGUGAUGGGACUUCUUUUCCCUACCAAUAGGCUCGUAAAAUUGUCACUUAAUUAUAAUUCUAGCAUGAUUAAAUUUUAAAAAGCUAAAGAUAAUGUUGAAUUACUGGAGUUAUUAUGACGCUAUAAUUAAUGUUUGUAGAAGUUAAAGUCAAAAUUUAUAACUGUGGGAUCACACUUCUUUUAUUACUUAUUAGUAUAAAAUUUUAAGUAAAUAUGUUUCAGUCUAUAAACAUUUUUCAUUCUUCAUAUGUAUACAAAUUUUAGUAUCUUAUUAAUCUUGUUUCCUACCUCUAGUUAAGUUUGAUUCUUCUUUAUUUCUAUACACACUUAUGUGGUAUAUAUUUUUUCACAAGCACCAACAAUAAAUAUAUAUAUAUUUUUUAAAAAGUAAGGAUAAUUUUGACAUUUGCAAAAUUUUUAACAAAGAAAAAAUUUAUGUCUUACAUCAUAUUUGAGUAAAGUCAAGGCCACUGAGAGAGUGUUUGUCUUUUUAGUUUUUUGCUGAAAGUAAUUUGCUUUUAUAUUUUAGGUUAGGUUGUUUGUUUUUCUUCUUUUUCAUGAUUUAUAAUAAAUUUUUGGUUAAAUAGAAAAAAAUCAAAAUACUUGACUUUUCUAAAUGGAAAAAGUAACAUGCAUAUUGGUUUUUCUUUAUUUUUAAAUACUUAAUAAAAAUAAAAUAUUACAAAAAUAAAUAAACUAAUACUUAAUACUAUUAAAAACUAUUUAUUUUUAAGUUCUAUUUAGAAUUAAGUAUAAAAAAACAACACCGCCUAAGUGUCAUUCACGAUUCUUAAUUCUAUACAAACAUCUUUAAAGGUUGCAAUUGAUUUUUAAAUACUUUUUUUAAUGUCUAAGAACUUGUAGCAAAUACAACUAUUAAACAUAUUAUAUCAUUUUCAGAUUACAAGGCCAAUAUAUAGAGAAGUUAGAUGAUUUAGUUUGAAUGGAGAUUUUGCUUCAUAUUUUUAACUUAUAUAAAUAAAAAGACCAAAUUAGUAUAAUUAGAGUUUGAUUAAGUAGAAGAGUUUUUGUGUAUAAAAAUGUAAUUUGCAAGGUGCAACUAUUUCAUCUUUGCUUCUAUUUGGGGUUCUCUUAAACGACACAGUUAAGUUGUCAAAAUAUGUACCUAAAUUACUAUCAAAAGACUCAUAUUUGUCUUAGAAAUGAGGUUUGAUAUCCAAGUAGUCAGUUCAAACAAGAUCUUAAAAAUUAAAGUUUCACAAUAAUGGAAUAAUUUAAAGAAGAUAUUUUUUAAAUUAUAAUUACAUGACCAUCAUACUGAAGAUUAUUGGUAAAAGAAGUCAUCAAGAUAACUACCUUAAAAUUUUUUAUAUGUUAGUAUUCAUGGUGCUGAAUAUAUAGUUGGUCUAGUAGUCAUUUCAUGGAUAUUGAAAAUAAUUUGUUCAGAUUGCUAUGGUUCCUUCGAAGUGUUGCUAUGUGAAAACAUGACUUUCAAGUAAUGUAUGAAAAAAAAAAACUAUAAAAAAUGUUGGACGUAUAUACCAUGUUUUUUCGCCAUCCAUGUUUGAUAUAAAACCAAUCUUGCCAGCCACAAAACGGCACACUCAACAGAACUUGUACUGAGCUCGCUGCAUUCAACAAUGGCGAAUGUUGCAGCUACAAACAUCACCUUUUUCAAACCCUUUUUGCAGCAUUAUUCCAAUUUUCCUACCUCAUUUUUCAACAUCACCAUCCCCAUUCCCAAUCAUUACCAUAAACCUACCAGCACAAAGUGUCUCUCCCGCUGCCACCUCAGUGUCACUCCCGAACCCUCCCCGGGCGCCCCAGAAACCUUCGUUUCCCGGUUCGCCGCUGACCAGCCGAGGAAAGGCAGUGACAUCCUUGUGGAAGCCCUGGAACGUGAAGGGGUGACUCAUGUCUUCGGUUACCCGGGGGGAGCCUCCAUGGAGAUUCACGAAGCCCUCGCUCGCUCCUCCAUGAUCAGAAACGUGCUGCCCAGACAUGAGCAAGGGGGCAUCUUUGCGGCAGACGGCUAUGCUCGCGCUUCUGGACGCCCUGGUGUCUGCCUCACCUCCUCUGGUCCAGGCGCCACUAAUAUUAUCAGCGGCAUUGCGGAUGCAAACUUCGAUAGCAUACCCAUCGUGGCCAUUACUGGGCAGGUCCCACGAGGCUUGAUGGGAACCGAUGCCUUCCAAGAAGUCCCACUUAUUGAUAUAACUCGACCGAUCACAAAGUUCAAUUAUUUAGUUCUUGAUGUUGAAGACAUUCCUCGCACAGUUAAAGAAGCCUUUCUCCUUGCAACUUCAGGCCGACCUGGCCCGGUAUUGAUCGAUAUACCAANNNNNNNNNNNNNNNNNNNNNNNNNNNNNNNNNNNNNNNNNNNNNNNNNNNNNNNNNNNNNNNNNNNNNNNNNNNNNNNNNNNNNNNNNNNNNNNNNNNNGGGCUGCCCAGUAUUGCAAGCAUAAGAAUCCCCGCCCACUGGCUCUCUCAAGUGGAUUAGGAGCAAUGGGGUUCGGAUUGCCUGCUGCUAUGGGUGCUGCACUUGCUAAACCCGACGCAAUUGUUGUCGACAUUGAUGGUGACGGAAGCUUUAUGAUGAAUAUCCAGGAAUUGGCUACAAUACGAGUGGAAAAUCUGCCAGUGAAGAUUAUGCUAUUGAAUAAUCAGCACCUUGGCAUGGUUUAUCAGUAUGAGUAUGAAUAUGGGGACGGUGAUUCGUUGCACUCAUACAUGGGGAAUCCAUCGAACCAGGCCCAAGUAUUUCCUGACAUGUUGAUGUUUGCGGAAGCUUGCAACAUAACUGCAGCCCGUGUGACAAAGAAAGCAGAGCUGAGAGAGGCAAUAGAGAAGAUGUUGAAGACUCCUGGUCCAUUUCUGCUAGAUGUGAUGGUACCCCAUCAAGCACAAGUGCUGCAGUUGAUUCCGGAUGGUGGCACUUUCAAAGAUGCUAUCAAAGGUGCUCAGUAAAUGUAAAACAAAUGCAAUUUUAUUAUGAACUGUCAAGUACUAAUACAAUGGAAAAUAAAAAAUAAUAUUUAUUUUUUAUAUUAAUAUUAAUAUUAAUGAAGAUAUUAUCAUUUAAUUUUCAUUUCAUUGAUAUUGAGUAUAACAAAAUUUAUUACAUGUGUUAGAAAAAGAAGACAUAAAAACAAUAACUCUCCAAUCCCAGGAAUGAAAAUAAAUAUCAAUAUGUCAAAGUAAUUUAUCUAUCUACCAAUACAAUUCAGAUGGAAGUAAUUUGUAACAAAUUUGCAAUCAAAGCACAAAAAAAAAAAAAUGAAUAGCAAGAAUUUUAAGAGAUGAUUUAUCAAACGGAUAGAAAGCAAGACACAAAUACUAAGAUUUAAUAUGGUUUGAAAAUGUGCUUACAUGCACAACUCAAGCUUUGACAACAAUUCACUAUAGUAAAUAUUACAAAUGUCACUCCUCAAACUUUCCAUAAGACUUAAGUUAAUAUGGCAAAAGGAAAGGGAUACUUGUAUUACUAUAAAUAUGCCAGUUAUAAUUCAAACAAGUUUAAGAGCUUAAAAAUACCCAUAAGACGCUUCAAUGGAUGUUUAAUGGUGUUAGUAGAAGAAAAAAAUUGAAACCUAGCCUUUUUUCUUUUCUCCCUAGAACUCUCUUUCUAUUUAAUUUCUAUUUCAACAAAACCCUAAAUUUUUGCCAAUUCAUGUCAUUUUAAGAUGUGCUUGUGCCCAAAUAUUGGGUCUAAGAAUUAGGACCAACGAUAACUAUCAAUGGACUAGAUGCCCUUGAGGAGGAUUGUCUUAAGUGAAAUUCAAUCCCUAUUGUAAUAUUCAUGAUUCUCUCAUUGAUCUAAUUGUAAAGAUCUCUUGAAAUUUCUCCAACAUUAGCCAUAAGUUAUGCUUUAUAGACAAUUUGAAAAUUUUCCUAUGGUUAGAUUCAUUGUGGUUCAUUUACAUUACUUAUGUGUAGAAGCUUGAAUGGAUCAAGAAAGCAUCGAGGGCUCAAAUUCUAUAGAGUCUCUAAACACUGAAAGUGCAAUUGAAUUUUUAUUUGGAAUUGACCCUAUUUAAAUUGUAGAUCUAAUCCUAUAAUUGAAUAUAUUUGGAUGACAUCUAUUCAAUUGAUAAAUUCUCUAUUUUGCUUCAUCUUAAUCAUCAUCAUUUAUCAAGCUCCACAUAUUCAUUUUAUCAUGAAUGAUUUUAUCUACUUUUAAUGCAUUUUUCAAUCAUUUAUGUUACAAAUUUUAAUCACUUUGAAUCAAUAUUUUGAAUCAUAGAUGACUAAUCCUUGUGAAAACGGUCAAACACUAUACUAUAGGUAUUCAUUCUCAAUCAAAUGGAUAAAAAUAAUUUAAAAACUAAUGCUAUAACUGUUUAUUAUCAAUCAAAUUGCCAAAUUCAUUGCACAAACAACGAUAAUUAAAACAAUAAUCUAGAUACAAUUAAAUCAACAUACCUAUUUACAUUUUUCUUGCAAUCAUCUCAUUUACCCACUCGUUUUAGUUAAAUUUUUAGAUUGAAAACGAGCCAUGCCAAUAUAGAUGAUUAAGACAUACAAGCAAACACAUGCUUCAUCUUAAUCAUCAUUAUUUAUCAAGCUCCACAUAUUAAUUUUAUCAUGAAUUUUUUUAUCUAUUUUUAAUUCAUUUGUCAAUCAUUUAUGCUACAAAUUUCAUCACUUUGAAUUGAUAUGUUGAAUGUUAGAUGACUAAUCCUAGCGAAAAUAGUCAAACACUAUACUAUAGGUAUUCAUUCUCAAUCAAAUGGAUAAAGAUACUUUCAAAAACUAUUGCAAUAACUAUUUAUUAUCAAACAAAUUGUCAAAAGUCAUUGCACAAGGAACAAUAAUUAAAAAAACAAUCUAGAUACAAUUAAAUUAGCAUACCCAUAUACAUUUUUUCUACAACCAUCUCAUUUACCCACUCAUUUUAGUUAAAGUGUCAAACUCAAAAGGAGUCAUGCCAAUAUAGAUGAUGAAGACAUGCAAAAACACAUGCUUCCUCUUAAUCAUCAUCAUUUACCAAGCUCCACGUAUUCAUUUUAUCAAGAAUGAUUUUAUGUACUUUUAAUUCAUUUGUCAAUCUUUUAUGCUACAAAUUUUCAUCACUUUAAAUCAAUGUUUUGAAUCUUAUAUGACUAGUCCUUGUGAAAAUGGUCAAACACUAUACUAUAGAUAUUCAUUCUCAAUCAAAUGGAUAAAGAUACUUUAAAAAACUAUUGCUAUAAUUGUUUAUUAUCAAUUAAAUUACCAGAAGUAAUUGCACAAGCAACCAUAAUUAAAAUAACAAUUUGGAAACAAUUAAUACAUGGAGCUUGAUAAAUGAUGAUUAUUAAGAUGAAGCAUGUGUUUGCUUUCAUGUUUUCAUCAUCUAUAUUGGCUUAGCUACUUUUGAAUCUAACACUUUAACUAAAAUGAGUGGGUAAAUGAGAUGGUUGCAUGAAAAAUGUAUAUAGUUAUGUUGAUUUAAUUGUAUCUAGAUUGUUGUUUUAAUUAUCAUUGCUUGUGCAAUGACUUUGGGCAAUUUGAUUGAUAAUAAACAUUUAUAAAAAUAUUUUUUGCAAGUAUCUUUAUCCAUUUGAUUGAGAAUGAACAUUUGCAAUAAAGUGUUUGACUGUCUUCACAAGGAUUAGUCAUCUAACAUUCAAAAUAUUGGCUCAAAGUGAUGAAAAUUUGUAGCAUAAAUGAUUGACAAAUGAAUUAAAAGUAGAUAAAAUCAUUCAUAAUAAAAUAAAUACAUGGAGAUUUUGAAAUGAUUGUGAUUAAGAUGAAGCAUGUGUUUGCUUGCAUUUAUUCAUCUAUAUUGGUUUAGCUCUUUUUGAGUCUAACAAUUUAACUAAAUUGAGUGCGUAAAUGUGAUUUAUGCAAAAAAAAAAAAAAAAAGUGUAGCUAUGUUAAUGAGUCGAAUGUGCUUGCUCCCCUGAGUGUGAGGAAAAAAGGCCUUAGCUUGUCUAUGAAACGAGUUAUGAAAUGUCCCAAAGCUACGAGACAACCCGUGAGGUGUUGUAACUCUUUCUUAUUGUUUAGAGCAAUUGUUUCGAGAACGACUUUCACUUGAGCCGGAUUGACUUAAAUUCCUCUUUGGGUUACCAUAAACCUUAGAAACUUCCUUACGUUGAUGCCAAAGGCACACUUAGAUCUCACUUCAUGUUGUAUGCUUGCAUAAGAUGGAAUGCCUCUUCCAGGUGUUGGGCGUGCUCAGCUCGGGUUUCGCUCUUUACAACAAUGUCGUCAAUGUAGACUUCCAUAGUUCAACCAAUUAGGGGCUUGAAAUUUUUGGUUAUUAGCCUAUGGUAGGUAGCACCGGUGUUCUUCGGUCUGAAUGGCAUGACUUUGUAUUAGUACAACCCUUGCGGUGUAACAAAGGUUGUAUUCUUCUCAUCUGACUGGAACAUGGGGAUUUGGUGGUAUUCGCAGAAGGUGUCUAGAAAGGAAAAUGUCUCAUGUCUGACAGUGGUGUCAACUAUCUGGUCUAUCUGGGGUAAAGGAAAGCUAUCCUAAACAGACGUCAUUUAAGUUGGUGUAAUCAACACAAACUCGCCACUUUCCAUUCUUCUUCGGAACUACCACCACGUUUGCCAACCAAUCCAGAUACUUGACAUCUCUGAUAAAUCCAAUUGCCAAUCAUUUGUCAAUUUCUUCCUGGAUGAUUUUCUACCUGUCCAGAUGGAAAUGCUGGACCUUUUCCCCGAUAGGCCGCGAGGUAGGUGAAACAUUAAGUCUGAGAGAGGAUAGGCAGAUGAAUCCCUGGCAUGUCUGAGUGAGUCUAGGCAAAGAUGUCAAUGUUGUGCUGGAGCAUUCUUUCUAACAGUUCUAGUUCCUCAUGCGUAAGCAAAGAGCUGGUAUAGGUGAUUUGUCUUAUGUCAUGUGAAAGGUGUAGUGGUUGAAGAAGAUCAACUAUAGACAGAUCUUUCUCUACUGAGCUCAGUGAUUUUUAUUGCUUCAUUACGCUUGAUGAUUCAGGGUGUAUCUUGUCAUCGACCGAUUGUCUGAAGUCUAGCACCACUUGAUAGCAUUGACACACGGCUAGUUGACUGCCAAGAAGAUCGACUUGUCCCUCCUCCAUGAGGUAGCUCACCAUUUGGUGGUACAUAGAGGGAAUGACUUUCAUUCUGUGAAGCAUGCAUGCCCCAUUAUAGCAUUGUAUGGUAAUAAGUUGUCAACCAUCGAGAAUCACACAUUUAGGAUGACUAGGCCAACUUAGACUGGUAGCAUAACGUCACCCAAGGAAGUCGUUGUAGCUUCAUUAAACCCGAACAAUAAAUGCCCUGGGUUCUCUAGGGCAAAUAGUGAGUAGCCCAUCUACUUAUAGGCUAACAUUUGUAAGAGGUCAGCUAAGCUACCCAAGUAAACCAGAAUCCUUCUCAUGUCAAAUCUGCCUACCCCUAGUUUUAGGACUAGGGUAUCUUCAUGUGGUUGCAAGAUUCAGUUAGCAUCUACUGGAGGAAAAGUAACUACGUCGUCUAUAGGGCGCACACUCUCUUUUGAAAUGUUGUUGAAUGGAAUUAACCCGCUCUUUUAUAGAGGCUACACGGAGCAACCUUCGCCUUUGCCGCUUAAAACUGUGUUUAUUGUCUACGAGGCCUCUAUGUAUAUAAUUGAUGACAACUUUGGGAGCUGUCGGAGAUAUAGAGCUUGGAUGGUUGCCUCUUGCGCUGCCUUUUUUUACUUGCCAGUUGUGCGGACAUACUCUUUUAGGUACCCGACCUUAAUUAGUUUCUCCACCAAGUAAUGGAGACUCUUGCAUUGCUUGGUGAUAUGACCGUGAUCUUAAUGAUAGGAGCACCUUCUAUUCCAAUCUCGCUUAGCUGGAUCUAUCUUGAUAGGUUUCGGUGACCUGAAGUAUGACAGAUCACAAAUGAUAGGAAGGAGUCUUUCAUAGGAUAUACUGAAGGGGGUGAGUCUUACUUGCUAGCUUGCCUCGAUUGGUUCAAGGGCUUAGAACUCCUGGCCUCAUUGUUCUUGGUCGGGCGAUGGGUGACCAAGACUUGUUGAGAAGCUGCUCGGACUUCGUCUUCAAGCAUAGAAUAUUUAUCCGCCUGUCUGAACAGGUCAUCCAUCGUUCCAGGUGGCUUCUUUGCAAGAGACUCAAAGAAGGGUAUGCUUAGGUUGAUAUUUCGCUUGAAUAUUUACAAGAUGACAUCCAUAUUGUAGGAUUCCACUUGAAGUACUGCUUGCCCAAACCACUUCAUGAAGUCUUUGAGCGACUCGUUCUCCUGCAACUUGAUGUUUUGUAGGGUGCUUAUGUUCUGUUUUUGGCGAGCAGAACAUAGGUAGUGGCCCACAAAGGCUUUCAAGAUAUCCUGGAACGUGUUUAAGGAAUUCAGUGGGAGAUGGUGGAACCAUGAUAGAGCUGAGCUGUGUAAGCUAACCGGAAAAAUCUUGCAUUAGUGCAUUAUUCCCUAUGUCAAGGGUCAUGAGCUGCUUGAAGUGCAUAAUAUGAUUAAAUGGGUCACUCGUUCCGUCGUACAUCAUGAACUUUGACACUAUGAAUCCCUUGGGCGGCUCUUAGUUGAAAAUAUGGGGGCUAAAUGGCGUGGAGAGCAUGUCAUCCAGCCGCUGGCUAAUGCAAUUGUGUAGAGCUCGCUUCAACAACACUUUAACCUGCUAUCUUGAUAGUUAAGAGGGUCGUUCUAGCAUAGGUGUUGUGGCUGGGGGACCUAGACGAGCACUCAGAAUUUCUAACAUGCAUGAUUGCCUUUCCACGCUUGGCGCUUGAGGUCCCAUCUGAGCUCGCAAUGCAUCUAAUAAAUGCAAUCUUUUGUUACGCCUCAUUUUCUUGGAUACCCGGUAAAAGGUUGUUUCUUCAUUCGGCUGAAUCUGGCGAUCCGAUGAAGACUCCUCCUUAGACUGUUUUAAAUAACUACUAGAAGAGAACUCUAUUCCCCAGGGGUAAAAUGCCUCAGCAGUUCGCCUCAAAGUCAUGUGCCAGCUCUGAGUGUGCUGACUUUAAAAGGGGCCCACUGUUGACAUCUGAGUCUGUAACUCCUCAUUCUCCUCUCUGAGUCAUUUUGUUUGGUAAAACAGGGUCCACAUCUGUCGAUCAUUUUCUCAUUGGCAUCUUUCCAUCCUUUUAUGCCAUACAAAAUAAUCCUCCCCACCCAUAGUUGACGAUUGACUUUUGGAGGGUGUUGACAUCCUUAGUUCUUUCGCUUCCCACAGACGACGCCAAUGUUGGUGCAAUGCCAACCAGAUUGAGUCCAUUUAGCUUCUCUGGAGUCAAACGAGCUUCUUCCCUACACAAAGGAUAUCCGGACAAGUGGUCCGGGCACUCCCCUCCGAAGCUUAAGUUAGAAAAGAAUAAGGACGGGUCUAAUUCUUUCAAAUGGAUUUGUACGCGCAUGCUUUUUUUCAUGCUUCUCCUAGGUUUUUAUAGAGCAAAUGGCACAUUCACCCUAGUGCUGAUGGUGUAUUCAUGCCUUUUUUGUGAUGAUGAUUGCCACCAGGGCGGAAAUCAAGCCUUAGCAAGAGGGUCAAUGCCAUCAUCUCUGCACCGAUUGAGCAAUCAUACUAAACAAAAUCCGUUGACUAGUGCCAUUUGCUAGCUGUUGAGCAAGAGUCUCAGACCACAUAGUUGACUAUGCAUUUACGUUUAUCAAUGUCGUAGAUUGUGCGUAGCAAUUAAUAAACAUUGACUUUCAGGUGUAAAUGUUGUUUAAGUCGUUGCCCAGACAUUGGAUGUGAUUGUCCAUCUGUUCAAUGCCUAGAGUCUCCGGUUAUGUUAGUUAAUUUGUUUGGAAAUCUCUAUUGACUUGGUCUGUCCAUUCCGUCUGACAUCCAGAAAGAAAGAAAACUCAUUCGUCUUGUGCUAGAUGGAAUUUGUUUUGGUUUAGACAAAUGGAUCUAGACGGAUCAUCUCUUUAUCUUGGACGAACCAAGGGUUUUGGAUUAGGGGAGGAUAUGUGGAGGGAAGCCCCCACAACUUAUACUUGAGAUUUUAAUUCUCUCAAAUUGAAAGAUAUUUUGAUUCCUAAGUUACUUUUUAAUUUUUAAUUUUUAAUUUUUAAUUUUUAUAAAAAACACAAUUGUAUAUUAUUAAAAAUAAAAAAUUUAAUUAUAAUAAAUUAAUAAAUAAAUAGUUUUUAAUAAAAUGUGAAAAUUAAUAAUAUAAUAAAAUUAUAAAUGAAUUUUUUUUUAUAAAUAUUAUAAAAAUAUAAAUAUUAACAUUAAUGGAUUCAUUUGUUAAAAAUAAAUAAUAAUAUUUCAAAAUUAAUAAUUUCUAAUACUAUUCUAUUUUAAAUGAAUAUGACAACAAAUAAAAUUUAAAUUUUUAAGGUAUAAAUGAGCCAAAUUUUUUAUUAUAUUUAUUACUCAAAUAUGAAGAUGACAAAUUGAAUUAUUUUAUUUAAAAUUACAAGAUUUAUUUCAAGAAUUUAAAUAAUUAAUUAUGUCUAUUAUUUUUUAUAGUUAUUAAAUAAUUUCUAAUACUAUUCUAUUUUUUAAUUAUUAAACUUAUUAAUAAAUUCAAUACAAAUUCUCACAUGAUUUGAAAAUCAUUUUUAUAAUAAAAAAAAUCAAAAGAACAAUUCUCUAUUUUAGUUUGUUUUUAAAAAUUAUUGUUAUAGAACAAUAACCAAAUAUUGGUAAAAAUUUUAAAAACAAUUUUGUUUUUUAAAUCACACGUACAAAUAUUGUGAAUAUUAUUAGAGUUUAAAGUGUUUAAUAUUAAAACCAAUAUAUAAAUUGUUAAUUCUAAUUCUAUUAGGAAACUAAUUCUAAUUAUACUAUAAAAAAAUUCAAACUCUAAUAAAACUAUAUUAUUAAUUAAUAAUAAUCCUAAAAUAAGAAAAAUAAAAAAAAUUAUCACUUUCUAUAUUUAGGCUUGAUGUAAGUACGUAAUCAAACAUAUGAAUCGCCAUUGUUUCCUCUUGACAAAAAACAACUCCACUUUGGUGAAUUAUACAAUAGGUAUUACUCUAAAAAGAUAAGGAUCAAGUCAAUAAAAAUCCUCAUAAAAAAUCCAAGUAUCAUUUAUAGAAUGGCUAAUCCUUUCAUCGAACAAAGAAGACAAUUGCCCAAUACCGAAGUAACAUAUUGAUCCACCUAUACAUGCACAAUCACAUCAGUAAUAACUGUUUUCAUUCAUCACUAAGAGCCAAACUAUUGAAGGAUAGUUUAAUAUUUGUAUGGUUUGCUCAUUGUGGACUUCAUCUUUAUUUGAAGGUCAUACCAGCCAUAAAAUCAAGAGCUAAAUCUCUAUCUUUCAAGCUUGAGUUCACCCUGAAUUGGGGAACUGAGGUUGGAUUUUGGGGUUUAGAAAAACUUUUGAUAACAAUACAUCUCAAAUGCAAUAAGAACAAUUUAUGUUCUACCUUGUCGAUCAGAUGUACUAAGCUUGCAAUGAGUUGCUCAAAUUCGCUUUUUUCCCCCUAUUGGACUGAUUAAACUCAGAAUUUAAAAUCAAUAUUAAAUUGAUUGCAGAUAAAAUGUUACAUCUAAAAUAAGAACAAUAAGUUCUAACUCAUUAAGAUCUUGUUUGACAGUGAUUCUAGUUAUAAAACAUUUCUAGCCUUUUUAAUACUUGAAAACUACCUUUUUGAUAAAAAAUUUCGAGUGCUAAAAGACUCUAAAUUGAUUUUAUGAAGUACUUCUAAUCUUUUCAACACUUGAAAAUUUCUUAAAGGAAUUUUCAAGUGUCUGAAAGACUAUAAAUGACUUUUAAAAUCACUGUCAAAUAAGUUCUAAAUGUACUUAUGUAUCAUAAUUUACCAAGCUUAAAAUGAGUUGCUUCUAUGCUUUUAUUUUUUCCCCAUUUUUUGCCUUUUUCCUUUAUGGAAAUCACCAUCAAUAUUAGACCAACUCUACCUCAAAAUUUUACAUUCAAAUUGGCCGACAUGAAGACGAGGACAAUAUGAAACAUCCAUUACCAACAAGAAAUUCUAAUUGAAUUCUACAAAUGCAGGUGUGACCAGUUUGCUGAAGAGGAUAUAAAGAAGAAAGAUUGAUAGUGGUUGCAGGACUAUGGCACUAUAGCUUUCAACAUGUGAAAGGCUGCAAAUAAGAAAGAAUGUGGUGAAAGAAGGUGGGAAAAAAAUGGUCCUUAUCCUCCUUCCAUAAGGUUAGGCUGUCCUACAUCUACUAAAUGUGGGGCUCCCGCCUUACAAUGAUUGGAUAUGAACGGCCUAGAUGAAUAAAAAGUGAACAUAUAUUAAUCAUAUGAUGACCCUACCAUUUACAACUGCCAAAUUUCAACACUGAUCAUAGAGGAAAAUGAUGUCAGGCAUGCCUGAGGAACAAAAGUGAGACUCGCAAGAAUAUCUUCAAUUUAUUAAUGAACGUGUUGAAAUGAAUCUAAAAAAAAUGCUUUAAAAAGACUGGUGAUGUUGCUAGUAUCUUGUGAUAGAAAGAGUAACACAUAAUUGAAGGGAGAAGGAUGCCAAAAACGGCCAAGUCGGCCGUCCCAUGAAGGCCCAUUUGCAAGCAAGGAGUCCAUAAAAUAUUAUGGAUUUCAUCCAGAACAUUGUUGAGCUAUCUUAUCACUCUUUUCCAUUUGCCCACUUGCUUCUAAUUUCAAAAGAAAAGGUCACACGAUCAAUUAUUCUUCAAUGCGUGCUUAAAAAUUGAGAUAUUUUAUGGGUGCUUUGAAUCAUUGAUUAAUUGUUAGGCUUCAAAACAUCUUCAACAGGACCACCUUUUUGUGUCGUUUUUUCAUUCAAUAAUGCUUUACAAGUUGCAUGCAAUUGGGGUUUCCUACCAGGAAUUGUUGGCCUUUACUGGAUAAAAAAUGUAUAGAGUGAAACUGGGACAACUAUUGGUGAAGCUUUCAGGUUUCAACCGAAUAAAUGAGAUCAGGUGGGACACAAUAAGCUAUUUAUAUUUAUCAAGCUAGGUUUUUGGCGUUAUCUUCAUUGUACCAAUUUUAAAGAGGAAUCUCAGAAAGUCAUGACACCUCAAUGUAAGGAGCAAGCACUAAUGUCUUUUGAAAAUUGUUUUUAAAAAUAGUUUUAUGUUCUUGAGAACAAAAAAAAUAGCAAAACAUCUUGAUCAACAAUCAUAAAACUAUUUUUUGCUUUUUAUUUUUAAGAAUAAGAAAUAAAUAUUUUUAGAAAACAUCUUCUAGUUGUUUUCAAUUUUUUAUAAAGACUGUUUAAAAAAAAAAAAUUAUACAAAUAUGGGGAAUGAUUAAAAAUAAAGUACUAAAUAUAAAAAUUAUUUCUAAAAUAUAAUUUAAAACUUUUGUUGUACAAAAUAUUAAAGAAUAAUUUUCAAAAAUUAUUUUAAAAAAUAAUUAAUAAUUACCAAAGAAGGUCUAAAUAUCAUCAUCUCAUUGAUAUUAGUAAUGAUUCUUAUCUAUAAAAGGAACAUAAUUUGUUAUAAGUGAGUUUCAAUAUUUAUAAAUAGAUAUUCCUUUUUUUUCCUUUCCCUAAUUAUCCUUUCCUAGGAAAGUAAAACAAAAAAUAUAAACCUAGAAAAUGAUCAUAACAAAAAUUAUCUUUAAUGCUAAAUUUGCAAUUUUCUUUUGACCAAGGCAACAUCCAUUGUUCCAGCUGGGGAGAGGAAGAAACUGCUUAAACACUUUGAUGUGGAAGGGAUAUUGUACUACGUAAAUUACUUAAAAAUUAAGUACUAGUUCAUAGUAGUUGGCUUCAAUUUCAAGUUUUGGGUUUUUCUAUGUGGUGUUUCUUAUUUUACUAAAUAAAAAAAAUCAAAAUAUCUGACUUUUUCUAUUAAGUUAAAAGUAACAUGUUAAUGCUAACCAACAUAAAUAAAGUGAAUUUAUUGAUAACGAUUUCACUUUAAUUAUGUUGAUUGAUAUUAACAGGUUACUUUUAUCUAAUUAGAAAAAGUAAAAUAUUUUAACUUUUUCUAUUUAGCAAAAAAAACAAGCACUAAGGUGAUUUUUUUUAUAAAAAAAAAUCUAAAUAAAACUUUAAUGCUUAAUAGUGUUAAGUAUUAGACUAUUUGUUUUUUUAAAAUAUUUUAUUUCUAUUAAACAUUCAAAAGUAAAGUAAAAACAACAUGUUACUUUUUCUAUUUAGAAAAAACUAAAUAUAUUGAUUUUUUCUAUUUAGUAAAAAGUUAAUAAUAAGUUAUGAAAAAAAUAGAAAAACAAACAAUCUAAAGUCUAAAAGCAAAUUGCUUUUUGUAAAAAGUUAAAAAACAAUGGUGUUUAUUUUUUUACUUCACUCUAAAUAGAACUUUAAUACUUAAUAGUAUUAAGUAUUAAAUUGUUUGUUUUUAUAAUAUUUUAUUUCUAUUAAGUAUUAAAAAGUAGAGAAAAAUUAACAUGUUGAUUUUAUAAUAUUUGGUUUUUUCUAUUCAAAAAAAAGUUUAUAAUAAAUUAUGAAAAAGUAAAAAAAAUAAACAACUUAAAGUUUGAAAGCAAAUUACUUUCAACAGAAAGGUAAAGAAACAAACACCAUAUAAAUCUUCCUCUAAACACAAUAAAGAGCAGGAAAUAGCUUAUAUCUUUUAUUCUCAUCAAUCGCUAUAGAGUCCAAAUAUACUAUUAAAGUAAAAGUGAUAUGACUUUCAUCUUUUUUCUUUCAUUGGUUCAUUUGGAGGCAUGAUGAAGUUCUUUUUCUUAAGAUAGCAAACAUUUUUGUACAACUUCAUUCAAAAAGAUACUUUAAUUAUCAUACUUACAAAACCCUGUAUGAUUCAUAAUUGGAAAUGCUUAAUUUUUGAAAGUUAUAAAAUAAAAACAAAUUUAAAAUUAUCAACAUAAAAUUCUGAAAAGGAAAUAUAUAAUCAAUUCACGUGGUUCUUAAUUUAAAAAUAAAAUAAAAUAAACAAAACCGAAAUUUUGGCAUCCUAUAUGAAUCUUGAGGGUGACCUUAAUGUUUCCUCUGUACAGAGAAGAGAGAAACCCAGCUGCUUCUUACGUUGGUUGGCAGGAAGUAACCAAUUGCUCAUAUAGUUCAAUUAUUUUGGAGCCUACCUGAAUCUUGAGGGUGAUUUCCUUUGUAUACAGUUCCAUAUCCUCCUUGGCCUAAUUUAUCUUUGAAUUGACUUGCAAUCCUUUUAACAUCAGCAUGGGAGUAUCUUGAGGGUUUCAGAUCUUCAUAGUCUUCUAGAAAAUUUUUAACCUUUACUCUAUUCUCUCUUUCUACUUUAUCUGAGCUAUAGACCCGAUAAAGCAUAACAAUCACUAACACGAGAAGAAAAAAACCAAAGAUUGCACCUGAGUACAUAAAAAGAAGAAAACUUAAACUUUUUUUUAUAUAAAUAAAUAGAUAAAAUAACCAAAUUAAAAAUCUUUAUCUCUAUAAUAAAAUAUGUAUGAAUAGAAUAUUACCUGUCACAAUUAUUUUCUUUGAUACACUUAUAAAAAGAAUAAGAAAAAAAAAAGUAAUUAGCUUGUUAUGCUCUUGGAAUUAAAAAAAAAAUGCUAAAUUACAUGUUCAUGUGAUAUGAUUUUAAUCUAAUUAAUUUUAUGCUAGGCCUCAACCUUAUCUUUUGGUUUCUUUCUCGUAUUCUAUGCUUUUACUUUUAAGGUAGUACCAAUUCUACUAAUAACUCUAUCCUAGCUUGUAGUGGAAAUUCAAACAUACCCUUCUAAUCCCUAUUAUGUAUCAUAGUUAGACUAUGUUUCAUAAUAACUUAUUGUCUCCAUGACUCCCUCAUACACAAAUUCAUCCUAUUUUAUGACAAAAACUAAAAUAAAAAUGAAACUCUAUGUAAAAGGAAUGUGGAGAAAUCUCUAUCCUUAUUCUAUAUCAUUACAUAUAGUGAUCCAAUUGGUAGGUAUGAUGACACUUGGUGAUUCGAUUGACCAUUAACAAUUUAGUAUUAAGUAUUAAAUUGUUUGUUUUUAUAAUAUUUUAUUUCUAUUAAGUAUUAAAAAGUAAAGAAAAAUUAACAUGUUGAUUUUAUAAUAUAUUGUUUUUUCUAUUCAACAAAAAGUUUAUAAUAAAUUAUGAAAAAGUAGAAAAAUAAACAACCUAAAGUCUGAAAGCAAAUUGCUUUCAACAAAAAGGUAAAGAAACAAACACCAUAUAAGUCUUCCUUUAAACACAAUAAAGAACAGAAAAUAACUUAUAUCUUUUAUUCUCAUCAAUCGCUAUAGAGUCCAAAUAUACUAUUAAAGUAAAAGUGAUACGACUUUCAUCUUUUUUCUUUCAUUGGUUCAUUUGGAGGCAUGAUGUAAGUUCUUUUUCUUAAGAUAAGAAACAUUUUUGUACAAGUUCAUUCAAAAAGAUACUUUAAUUAUCAUACUUAUAAAACCUUGUAUGAUUCAUAAUUGGAAAUGCUUAAUUUUUGAAAGUUAUAAAAUAAAAACAAAUUUAAAAUUAUCAACAUAAAAUUCUGAAAAAGGAAAUAUAUAAUCAAUUCACGUGGUUCUUAAUUUAAAAAUAAAAUCAAAUAAACAAAACCGAAAUUUUGGCAUCCUAUAUGAAUCUUGAGGGUGACCUUAACGUUUCCUCUGUACAGAGAAGAGAGAAACCCAACUGCUUCUUACGUCGGUUGGCAGGAAGUAACCAAUUGCUCAUAUAAUUCAAUUAUUUUGGAGCCUACCUGAAUCUUGAGGGUGAUUUCCUUUGUAUACAGUUCCAUAUCCUCUUUGGCUUAAUUUAUCUUUGAAUUGACUUGUAAUCCUUUUAACAUCAGCAUAGGAGUAUCUUGAGGGUUUCUGUCACGCCCCAAGACCCACUCCAAGGGCGUGAUGGUCAAUUUACACCUCAAACCCAAAGGCUUAAAGUGUAACCUGACCCAAACAAUCAUAUUGUAACUGGAAGCAACAAAUUACCAAAUACCUGUUCAGAGUAGCGGAAUAAAAUUCUAAAAUCUUCAAACUUAACUUUAAGACUAACCAUCCAUCAACCAAAAUCCAUUAUCUAAAUAGAUUGCAAACUCAAACAAAUCAAGUGCUAACAAAUCUUCAUAAUCUCCAAAUCUCAACUUCAAACUAUCAUAAAAUAAAAUAUUUAAAAGCUCAAUGUCUAAAUAGCUUCCAAAAGCCAAAUAAUCCAAAUGAACAUAAACUUAUAAGCUAACAAUGUUAAAAAAUAACAUCCGAAGAAAAAUCUUAAUGAUGACCAUUUCCCGACCCAGCCAUCACUCCUCGCCCGAACUAAGGAUACCUGAAAAAUUAUCAACAAAGGGAAUGAGCUCAAAGCCCAAUAAGGAAUAUUAAUGCAAUCCAUAGAUCAAAUAUUUCAAGUUCACUUACAAAAUAGGAGAUAUUAUAACUAAUUAUUUUCAUAAACCUUUGAGUCAGUUUUGUCAAUACAUUCAAAACUUUUAACUCCACACUUUCAUUUCUGAUUCAAACAUUUUCAUAUCAAAUCCAAUCAAAAUAUUCAAAUUAUUUAUUUACUCUAGUCAUCAGACAUCAGAUGGUGCCCAGUUAGGUGGGACUUUUCAAAUAGGUGGCUAGCCUCAAAUUGUUCCUUUAAGGUGGACGAAACCAAACACUACUAGUACUAGUAACCUCUAACCAAACCCUUAGAGGCUGGGGUCCAAAUCAAUUACAUUCCCCUCCAAGAAAUGUAAAGAUCAACUAUUAUAUCUCGUUGACAAGGGCCAAAAAUUCAAAAGUUAACUAUUAUAUCCCGUUGACAAGGGCCAAACAAACCAGAGUCAAACACUUAUUUCAAUUAUUCAAAUUUGUAAAACAUAAUAUCUCCACAUUUCUCUGUUAUAAACAAAAUGUAAGGUUCUAACAUACUUUUCAUGCAAAACAUAUUUGAUUCAUGCAUAAAACGAAUAAUAACUCAAAAUAUUUCCAAAUGAUGUAUAUAAAAAUUUGUUUCUAAAAAAAAAUAAUAACUACAUUAAUUUCUCUUACUUCAAAAGACGUCCUUGAAAGCUCGGGAGAAAAAUAAUUCUGGAAAAAAAAAAUCUACUCUUCACCUAAUAUAACAUAAGAGAAAUAAUUAUUACUAUUUAUCUAUAAUUUAAAUAAUCUAUUUCUUAUUUAAAUAAAAUUAAUAAAUUCCCAAUUUGUUUCUAAUAACACAUUACUAAUUUAAUUAAAUUGCAAUUUUAUUUCAUUUUAAAAUUAUAUAUAUAUAUAUAUAUAUUGCUAAAUCUCUCAUUCUAUUUAUUACAAAAAAAAAAACCAUUAUUACUAUUAUCUUAUUUGUUAAUCUAAAACUAAAUAUUAUUAUUUUAUUAAUUAUCCAAUUCAAUAAUCACCCAAACCAUUACCCAUUUGUCUCGGGUACACACCAAACCAAUAAAACAAAGCAAGUUUUUUUUUUCCAUUGCCAUCAUCAUUAUUAUGAUGAUUCAUUAUAUUUAUAUAUAUGUUCCAAAGUCUUCCUUCCAUCCAAUGCACACGCUUUUUUUUUUUUCCUUUUUUCCAGUAUUGUGCACACGCGUUUGUUUUUUUUUUACAUUUUCUAAUCCCUUCAACUAUUUACUCUAAUUUUUUUUUUAAUAAAAUUAACCCUAGCCUAAAAUCGAAACCUUCCAAGGAACCUUUUUUUUCAUCUAAAAAAAAACUUAAUAUCUCCCAAAUUCCAACAAUAAAUCAAAAUCUUAAAUUUUUACUAUUUUGAUAUUAAAACGAAUUAAAAAAAAAAAAAAAAACUAACCCUAAUCUAGAUUUGGGUUUUUCAAAAGAUAUCUAAUGUAUUUGAAAUUAACCAAUGAAUCUAAAAUAUUAAACUAAGGGUUAGAAUCUUACCUAUAGAGAUCUGUUCUUCAACCCUGAAAUCUGACUCCAACCUUACGUUCUCUGGAAUUCUGCAAACAGGAACUCUAUUCAGAAAAGAACAGGAAGAAUAGAAUUUCUAAUUUAUACCUUGGGUAUUUAUUCAUAAAAAUAUAUUUUUACCCCUCUUCCCUUUUAUUAAAUUAAUUAAUUAAUUAAUUUAAUUAUUAUUAAUAAUUUCCUAAAUUACCCUUAAAAAAACUUGGGUGUUACAUCCUCCCCUCCUUAACAAAAGUUUAGUCCUCUAAACUAGACAUACUUGAGUCUUGAAAUAAUUGAGGAUGUUUUUCUCUCAUCUCUUCUUCUAACUCCCAAGUGGCCUCUUGGAUACUAUGAUUUCUCCACUAGACCUUUACCAACUUGACAACAACAUGUCGUAGUACAUUAUCCAUCACAUCCACAAUUUGAACGGGUACCUCUUCAUAGGUCAAGUCCUUAGAAAUUUGAAUAGGCUCCAACUCCACAACAUGAGAGGGAUCAUAAAUAUACUUCCUCAAAGUCGAAACAUAGAAUACAUUAUGAAUCUUAGAUAGACUUGGGGGCAAGGCCGCUUUAUAAGCCAAAGUGCCUACUCUUUCUAAUACCUCAAAUGGUCCCACAAAGCGAGGACUGAGUUUCCCUUUUCUUCCAAAUCUCAUUAUAGACUUCAUAGGUGAAACUUUCAAGAAAACAUGAUCACCCACCUCAAACUCCAAAUCUUGCCUGCGAUUAUCAGCAUAAUUCUUCUGUCUACUUUGUGCUGCUUUUAAUCUUUCCUUAAUUAAAGAGACCUUUUCAAUAGUCAACUACACAAGUUCAAGCCCCAAAAGCUUCUUCUCUCCAACAUCAUCCUAACAAACAAGAGAUCGACAUCUCCUACCAUACAAUGCCUCAAAAGGUGUCAUCCCAAUGAUAGCUUGAAAGCUAUUAUUAUAGGCAAACUCCACUAAGGGCAAAUAAUCAUCCCAAUUACCUUUCAAGUCCAAAGCACAAGCUCUCAAUAAAUCUUCCAAGACCUGAAUUACCCUCUCUGAUUGACCAUCAGUCUGUGGAUGAAAAGCAGUACUAAAACUCAACUUAGUACCUAAUGUUUUCUGUAAACUAUGCCAAAAUCUAGAAGUGAAAUGAGGAUCUCUAUCAGAUACUAUAGAAACAGGUACACCAUGCAUUCUCACAAUCUCCUUAAUAUAAAGAGAAGCCAAACGAUCCAUGGAAAAAUUGACUUUCAUAGGUAGAAAAUGAGCAGACUUUUUCAAUCGAUCAACAAUCACCCAAAUCGCAUUAUUGCCCCCUAAGGUCUUUGGUAACCCUGUCACAAAAUCCAUAGUAAUAUGUUCCCAUUUCCACUCGGGAAUAGAAAGUGGUUGCAAAAACCCUACUGGUCGUUGAUACUCAGCUUUCACUUGUUGACAAACCAAACACUGAGCCACAAAUUGCGCAAUAUCUCGCUUCAUACCUGACCACCAAUAAUUUUGUCUCAAAUCUUUGUACAUCUUUGUCCCUCCUAGGUGGAUUGCAAGCCUAGAACAAUGAGCUUCCUCCAAAAGCUCCCUCCUUAAGUCUCCAUCAUUUGGGACACAAAUUAAGUCUAGUCAUAAACCUCAAAAUCCCAUCAUCUGAUAAAACAAAGUCAGGCUUACUGCCCUUUUUAACCUCUUCCAUAAGUUGCACUAAAUUCAAAUCAUUCUUUUGUAGGGCCUUAAUUCUCCCAACUAAGUCUGGUUGUACUCUAAAGUUCGCCACAAGAGCUUUUGAGUCCAAAACUCUCAUAUGGACUUGUAAACUCCUCAAAUCUUCCAAUAAUUGCCUUUGACAACCUUUAAUAGCUGCUAAGGAACCAACAGAUUUCCUACUCAAGGCGUCAGCCACAACAUUCGCCUUCCCUGGGUGAUACUGAAUAAUGCAGCCAUAAUCUUUAAGCAACUCAAUCCACCUCCACUGUCUCAUGUUCAAUUCCUUUUGAGAAAAUAAAUACUUCAAACUCUUAUGAUAUGUGAAUAUCUCACGAGUUUCACCAAAAAGAAAAUGUCUCCAGAUCUUAAGUGCAAAAACCACUGCAGCUAACUCCAAAUCGUGAGUAAGAUAAUUUCGUUCAUAAGGCUUCAACUGUCUGGAGGCAUAACCUACAACUUUCCCAUGUUACAUAAGAACACAACCCAAACCUUGACAAGAGGCAUCUUUAUACACCACAAACCCUCCUGAGCUUGAAGAGAUAGUCAAAAUAGGAGCUGUCACUAAUCUGUUCUUUAACUCUUGGAAACUACUUUCACAAUCAUUAGACCACUCAAACUUAACCCAUUUAUGAGUCAACCUGGUCAAAGGUAGGGCGAUCUUAGAGAACCCCUCAAUAAACCGCCUAUAAUAACCAGCUAGUCCUAAGAAACUUCGAAUUUCUGUCACAAUAUUAGGUCUCCUCCAAUUUGAUACGGCAUCUACCUUUCCAGGGUCAACAGAGAUGCCAUCCUUGGUCACCACAUGCCCAAGGAAAGAGACUUUAUCUAACCAGAACUCACACUUCUUUAGUUUAGCAUACAAUUGCUUAUCUCUGAGAGUCUGCAAUAUAAUACCCAAAUGACGCUCAUGCUCCUCCCUAGUCUUUGAGUACACCAAAAUAUCAUCUAUAAAAACCACGACAAACUGAUCUAGAUAGGGCUUGAAUACCCUAUUCAUUAAGUCCAUAAAAGCAACAGGUGCAUUAGUCAAACCAAAAGGCAUAACCAAAAACUCAUAAUGCCCGUAUCUAGUUCGAAAAGCAGUCUUGGGUACAUCUUCACUUCUAACCCUUAACUGAUGAUAACCAGACCGAAGAUCAAUCUUAGAGAACACACAUGCACCCUGAAGUUGAUCAAACAAAUCAUCAAUCCGAUGAGGGGGAUACUUGUUCCUCACCGUCACCUUAUUCAACUCUCUAUAAUCAAUGCAGAGUCUCAUAGAUCCAUCCUUCUUUUUUACAAAUAAAACAGGAGCUCCCCAAUGUGAAACACUAGGCUUAAUGAAGCCCUUAUCUAACAACUCCUGAAGUUGAAUCUUCAACUCCUUAAGCUCCAAAGGUGUCAUCUUGUAAGGGGCCUUAGAGAUAGGAGUUGUCCCUGGUGCCACAUCAAUGGUGAACUCCACCUCCCUCUCUGGUGGCAAGCCAGGUAGACCCUCUGGAAAAACAUCAGGAUAGUCCCUUACAAUGGGUAUGUCUUCCAACUUUAAAUCAUUUUCCUCAUUCACAAUAAGCUAAAAAGUCUUGACAACCUUUCCUAAGAAAAGAACUAGCUCGCAAGGCUAAGAUCAUACGCAAUGGUUUGUCCACAUGUUUCCCCUCAAAACUAAAAUCAGGCUGACUAGGAAUACUAAACGUCACUCUUUUCCCAAAACAAUCAACAUAUGCAUGGUAUGAAGCUAACCAAUCCAUCCCCAAAAUCACAUCAAAAUCUUGGAGGUCAAGAAGUACUAAGUCAACUGUCAUCUCUCUAUACCCAAUCAUCACACAAUAGUCUCUAAGUAUUUUAUUAACCACAACAAAAUCUCCCAAAGGAGUAGCAACAAAUAAAUCAAAGUCCAUGUUAUUAAUCGACAUACCUAACAAACCAACAAAAGAUGCGGAAACAAAAGAGUGCAUUGAACCAGGAUCAAUUAAGGCUCUAGCAAAUAAGGUGUGAAUUCGAAGAGUACCUAUCACUACAUCAGAAGUAGCCUGAGCAUCUCUAUAAGUCAUAGCAAAUACUUGCCCUUGAGCCCUGGGCUUCUGUCUAUCCUCUUUAUUCUCCUCUUUAGGCUUCCCAAAUACAAACUUCUUACACUCUGGACAAUCCCGAACCAUAUGUCCUUGCUUUCCACAACCAAAGCAAGCUCCUGUCUCUCUAUAGCAUGGCCUACCCCCAUGCUUCUUGCCACAAGUAGGACAAAUCCCAUCUAAAUUUUGUGCUACUUUUCCUUUAUUCUGAUUUCUACUUGGAGCAAACCUUUUUUGUGCUUGGUUACCAUGAGCACCAUCAUUUCUAUUCCUCUUCCUUUGUUGUUCCCUAUACUGGUGAAGCUCUUCAUUAUCCUUCUUUGUAAUAAGGGCUCUGUCUACCACCUCUGAAUAACCACUAAGCUUCAGAAUUGAUAUCUUGUUCUUCAGAUAAGGCUUCAGUCCAUCCUGAAACUUUAUUGUUUUUUCCUCCUCUAUAGCAAUCAACUAUAGGGCAAAACAUGAUAGUUCGAUAAACUUAGCCUCAUACUGGGCCACAAUCAAAUUCCCCUAUUCCAAACGGACAAACUCUCCCACCUUUUGUCGUCGAACACUGCUAGGAAAGUACUUCUUAUAAAAAGCCUCCCUAAACUGACUCCAAACAAUAGGCUUCUGAUCCUUCAAAAGCCUUUUAGUCAUGCGCCACCAAUGGUUUACCUCUUUGUCUAACAAAAAUGUUGCAUAAGAGGUUUUUUGCUCCUCAGAACAAUCAAUGACAUCAAAGAAUUUCUAAAUUUUCGUAAUCCAAGCCUUUGCCUCUGUUGGAUCUGAAGUACCAGAAAAGUAAGGGGGACCCAACUUCUUAAAGUCGUCAAAUGAGCUACCCCUAGUAGAUGAGGAUUGUCCUUAACCAUUACUUCCAAUAGCUCUAGCCAGAUGCUCAACCAAACCAGCCAAAGUCCCUAAGUAUCUAUAAAGCCCUUCAGUACUCAUAGGGGGCAACGCCUCAGAUGGAGGAGGUAUAUCAUCAUUAGCCUGACUAUUUUGGGAAGAUGUAGGUCUCCUUGGUGACAUGGUGUCCUAUAAAGCAACAGGUAUAACUAAAUUAGUCACUAAGAACCCAAAUAAACAAAUCAAAAUUGUAAAGAAUAAAAGGAAUCAGACUAGAUGAAGUUGAAACUCAAACUAAUAUGUCACUCAUCUAUUCCCAAAGGUAAACUAAACAAGCUCCCAUCAAGAUCACAACCUAGUGCUCUAAUACCACUUUGUCACACCCCAAGACCCACUCCAAGGGCGUGACGGUCAAUUUAGACCUCAAACCCAAAGGCUUAAAGUGUAACCUGACCCAAACAAUCAUAUUGUAACUUGAAGUAACCAAUUACCAAAUACCUAUUUAGAGUAGCAGAACAAAAUUCUAAAAUCUUCAAACUUAACUUUAAGACUCAGCAUCCAUCAAC